This 60369-nucleotide long non-coding RNA is filed under the name Ananas comosus (pineapple). RNAcentral describes it as "long non-coding RNA (ACOM_LNC001851)". Lineage: Eukaryota; Viridiplantae; Streptophyta; Magnoliopsida; Poales; Bromeliaceae. The record is from RNAcentral.
AGUACAACGGGUGGCUCUAAUGCAAAAGGAAGGUAAGCUAAUGCAACUAGGGCGCUAGGCCCUUACCGCGAUCCUCGCCGGGUGAACUCGCACUCGGCCCUGCAAUAAAGUGGGGUGAGAACUAUUGUCCAUAGUUCCCAGUGGGUUCGGCCGCCGACUCCGCCGGUCUCCCCACUAGGUCCAAGUGGGCACAAAUAGAUAAACAGAUAGAUAGAUAUGGAAAGCUGUAAGGACAGAAUAGAAAACUACACUACUAUACCCGAAUCAUAAAUAUAUGAAUGCACGUUCAUAGAAAUAGGUAAGCAACUAACUCGUCAUCAUGUCCAAGAAGUAAAGCUAUUUACUUGUUCAUUAAUCUCAUGGCUCACCCGAGGGUUCGCCUACUACUCACAUAGCCAUCUUGACGCGUAGGGAGACUCAACUCAAACUACGAAUCCGAGACCGUCUGCGGGACCCCACAUAGGCUAUCCCUCGGGACCCCAAAUAGGCUAUCCCUAUCCCACGGGACCCCAAAUAGGCUAUCCCACGUGACCAACUCCGGAGCGCACUACUUGUGUGGAGCUACCAUCACAAGUUCUGAACAGACAGUGAGUAUAAUCCAAUCCUCUUAUCUCGAGGAUACCCUAUCCUCUAGGGUUACUAUCAUCGGAAAGUCAAUAGGUUUCAUAUACACUAAGACUCACAUAUGCCACUCGUUCUUUGUUUACUAUCAACUAGGUGCCACUCGUUCUUUUGUUUAUUAUCAACUAGAUGCCACUCGUUCUUUUGUUUUCAACCAUCGAGUCCAUUUUCAUCUCUGCAUUAUAGGAUUCAUAAGUCUCGACCCAAUCCUCAUCAAUCCACUAUAUCAAGCAACUAAUGUACACUAUGAUAUCAUCUAGGAAAGCAUAAGGAAAGGCAAUGCACAAUUAUCCUACAAUGCAUGUGAAUACAAGAUGCAAGAUUUCAAUGUACUAAGACAUAGGAGGGAGUCCAGUUGCUUCGGGAUGGUCACCACCCACCUCUUGGUAGUGCCACGAAAUUAGAAAACCCAACGUCGCUUCAACUCCUCGGGGCAACCAAACCCUCAAGUACUUGUUUUGGCGAUAACUCCGCACCCGCUCGUCGGAUCGACGAACCGUCUUCGCCAACGUUUUUAUAGACCUAGCAAUUAGGUUUACAGAGGGUUAAUUGAGAUCAAACCCCCAUAUUUCCAAAAAUUGCAUUUUGAACCCUAGGUUUCAACUUUUGCAAAAAUUCACAAAAUUGAUCCAUGAUUUAGGCAACAAUCAUCUAUUUAGCAUCAUAGGAUUCCAAUAAAUCCAUUUUUAUAGCAUAUAAAUAAAGCCCUAAAAUUCUACCAUUAUAGGGUUUUGAAGUGCCCUAGGUUUCAACAACGAGGAAAUCCAUGGUUCAAGCUUCAAAUUCGAGCUAGGACCAUCUAACUAGCUCCAAUAGGUUCCAUUCGAACCAAUUCUAAACCAUAAAACCCUAUCUUAAGGAAUCUACCAUUAUAGGGUUUUGGAGCUUACCUCUAAAAGCUUCUCCGAGGUUGAGGGAGAGGAGGAAGAAGAUGAUCUUCCUCUUCUUGGUCUUCUUCUCCUUCCUUCUUUCUUUUCUUUUUCCUUUCUUUUCCUUCUCCUUUCCUUCUUCUUUCUUUCUUUCUUUCUUUCUUUCUAGAGAGAGAGAGGGAAAAGAAUGUGAGAGUGGGAGAGAAUGAGAGAACGUGAGGGAGAAGGUGUGUGUGUGUGUGUGUGUGUGUGUGUACACGCAUGCAACCAGCCCACAUGUAGGUGCUGUAACAAUUGCACAAAACCCCCUCUCACACCUAUUACAACUUGUAGUUUCGCAGUUUGGAACAGUCGGAGCCCUUUUGAAUGUCCGUUUGCGCUCAAAUUCGACAGGCAGGCUUGGUUUAAUGUACUGAGCAAGAAUAUAUCUUAAGUUUUCAGUUUCGACCCCGUUUGGUCACCGAAAACUAUGCCAAACUGUAAUCUUUAGCAGAUAGCAGUUCGAUUUUAUUCUCCACCUUCCGGGUGUCAGAAUGGGCCAAAACUUUAAAUCUAACCUCAUAAAAAUAAUUCUGACGUAUCCUCCAGUUUUCAUAAUUUUCUGACACUGUACAUUUUCUGCUAAUUUCUCUGCCCCGUUUCUCAUAGAAAAUUCUAAAUUUUCUGUUUUCGCUCCGAUUUCAGUACAGGUCAUUUCCAACUUAUAUUUUACUUCUAUGAGUCCAAUAAAAUAGUAUCUCAUACUAUUUUUAUUUAUAUUUAUUUUUAUAAUAAACUCCGACAUACUAUAUCCUAACGUAACUUCUUAUUUUCAGAAGUUCGGUAUCCUACAAGAGGGCUACUAGAGUCCUCUUCUAUGUCCACACUCCAAAACCCUAGGAACUAGGUAGAAAUCGCAAAGAGAAAGAAGAGAGAGAAGAAGGAAGAUAGAUCGUAGAUUCUCUUAGAUCAAAUUAGAUCGUAUGAUACGGGAGAGAAAAUGGGACAUAUUUAUAGAAUAACGGAACCCCUAAAAUAUCCCGAAUCUGACAUAGAGAUUAGGAUUAGGAUAUUCAUAAUAGACAUCUACUAGGAAAUACGUUUCUUACCUAAUAAGAAGCAUUUAAUCCAUCCUUAUCUUUAACUUAUAAGGAUAAACAGGAUCGGGUUAAAUUAAUAUUCGCCAAUGUGGACGCACUAUAUGGCAACUAGGGGUGGAAACGAGCCGAGCUCGAGCGAGCUUACCUCGGCUCAAAUUCGGCUUGAAAUUAAUUUCGAGCUUAAAUUUAAGCUCAAGCUUGGAUUGAAANCGAAUCCUCAUCAAUCCACUAUAUCAAGCAACUAAUGCAUAAUAUGAUAUCAUCUAGGAAAGUAUAAGGAAAGGCAAUGCACAAUUAUCCUACAAUGCAAGUGAAUACAAUAUGCAAGAUCUCAAAGUACUAAGACAAGGGGAGUCCAGUUGCUUCGGGAUGGUCACCACCCACCUUUUGGUAGUGUCGCGAUAGUAGAAAACUCGACUUCGUAGUCCUUGGUUGACGCUUCGACUCCUCGGGUCGAUUCGAACCCCUAAGUGCUUGGUUCGGCUAUAUCUUUGCACCCACUCGUCGUAUCGAUGAACCGUCUUCGCCGACGCGUUCAGAGACCUAGCAAUUAGGUUUACAACCCGUCGAAAUAGAUCAAGACCCCACGUUUUCAAAAAUCCCAAAACACGCCAUAGAAUGGCAACGAGGGAGAAAUCUAUGGUUCAAGCAAUAAAACCCAAUCUCAAGAAAUCCACCAUGGAUGGGUUUGGGGCUUACCUCUAUACCAAGAUCCAAGCUUGCUCUAACUUGAAGGAGAGAGGGAAGAAGAUGAUAUUCUUCUUCUUCUUGGUCUUCUCAUUCCUCUUUCUCUUUUUUUCCUUCUUUCCCUUCUCUCCUUCUCUUUUUCUUUUCCUUUCGUUCUAGAGAGAGAGAGAGGGAGAGAGAGAGAGAGCAAAUGAGAUAAAUGGGAGAGGGAGAGAGGUCCCCCACCUCUCAUAUAGGCCAUUUUACAAAUAGGCCCCUCAACUUUCCAUCUAUUAAACAGCCCUCACUGGGCUGAUUUUGCAGCGAGGGACCGGUCCCAAGUCAGGGAGAUCGGUCCCUGAGAGCCUUCCAUCUCGGGCAGAGAGAGUUUCGUGUUCGGGAACCGGUCCCUGCUCGAGAGACCGGUCCCCGGGAGACCGGUCCUUGCCUCGGAGACCGGUUCCCGAGAGUUAGAUUUUCGGGACUUAACCAAAUUUCGGCUAUUUCUCGCUGGGUUAACGUUCGGGGACCGGUCCUCCCCUGCCAGGGACCGGUUGCAUCAAGGAUCCCCGCAAGCCCAGCCUAAUGGGACUGGUCCGUCCCUGCCAGGGACCGAUCCCCGAGAGCAAUUAUGCUCCAGUGCAGAUUUUGCACUGCUGCUCUCGCGGACUCUUCCUUAAUGCACUUUAUGCAUUAUAAUCACCUUCGGACUUUCCGGAGCUUACUCACUCGACAGCUAGUCGAUUCUAGACGAAGUCAAAUCCUCAGAUUUCGAGAAUUCACUUCCUUACAUCCUUCCCACCUUAAAAGAGUUUCGUCCUUGAAACAAACUCAAUACUACAAAACUUAUUUAGAACUUUAAAUUCUAAACUCAUACCUUGAUUUAAUCCUCGAACAAGUGAGGGUGAUUCGCUUUCAUCUCCUUCUCGAGCUCCCAGGUGGCUUCGCGAUCGCUAUGAUUGCUCCACCGAACCUUAACAUAUGGAAUUUCUCGAUUCCUUAACUUGCGCACUUCACGAGCUGUAAUUGCAACCGAAAACUCCUCGUAGCUCAGGUCUUCCUGAAGUUCCGGCUGUUCAUACAACAUUGCGUGCUCGGGAUCAGGUAUGUACUUGCAAAGAUUGGAGACGUGGAAUAUAUUGUGCACAUCCGCGAGCUUCGGCGGCAAUGCUAAUCGAUAAGCCACCGUCCCAAUCCGCUCCAAGAUCUCAUAAGGGCCAAUGUAUCGGGGACUUAGUUUUUCCCGAACUCCAAAUCGCUUAACGCCUCGCUUGGGCGAAACCUUCAAGAAAACGCGGUCGCCUACCGCAAACUCCAAGUCUUGCCGGUGCCUAUCUGCAUAGCUCUGUUGUCGAGACUGCGCUGUGAGUAGCCUCUUGCGAGCAAGGCGGACUUUCUCUUCUGCCUCUCGCAAUACAUCGGGACCAAACUCCGUGCACUCGCCCACAUCGCUCCAAUAAAUGGGAGAUCGGCACUUCUGCCCAUAAAGAGCCUCGAAUGGUGCCAUCUCCACACUAGCAUGGUAGCUGUUGUUGUAGGCAAACUCGGCCAUCGGUAAAUACUUGCACCAUCCACCUUUAUAAUCAAUGACACACUCUCGCAGCAUAUCCUCUAGUGUUUGAAUGGUUCUCUCGGUUUGCCCAUCUGUCUGAGGAUAGAAUGCGGUGCUGAAAUCGAGCCGCGUGCCAAGAGCCUCCUGCAGGCUUUUCCAGAAAUGUGAAGUGAACUUGGGGUCUCUAUCCGACACAAUUGUCUUCGGUACCCCGUGCAACCUCACUACCUCAUCAAGAUAUACCUGCGCCAGCUUAUCUCCCGCCCAGGUGGUGUGGAACGGCAAAAAGUGCGCUUAUUUAGUCAAGCGAUCCACAAUCACCCAAAUUGCGUCGUGGCCCCCUGUCGAGCGAGGCAAGCCAACGACGAAAUCCAUCGAUAUGUCCUCCCAUUUCCAGACGGGGAUAGGUAGGCUUUGAAGCUUUCCUGCUAGAAAUCGGCGCUCCGCUUUCACUUGCUGACAAGUCAAACACUUCGCCACGAAGCGCCCAAUAUCAACUUUCAUCCCCGGCCACCAAUAGAGUGCUCUCAACUCAUGAUACAUCUUGGUGCCGCCCGGGUGAUCAGUAUAUGGAGACCGGUGAGCUUCUUGUAAAAUCAGCUCACGAAGCUCCUCAUUCUCGGGCACACACCACCGGUUUCGAAACCGAAGUGCGCCCCUGGCGUCUACACUGAAAUCGCCGCCUCGACCUUCCUCGAUGUUACGCCUCACCUUUUGGAGACUCGGAUCUGCAGGUUGCAAAAUCCUGAUCCUCUCUAACAAGGUUGCCUGAACAACGAGCGCCAUUAGUCGAGUCGGAGUUUUUGGAGUCACCACCUCGAGAUCUAUUCGCUCCAUGUCCAACCAUAGGGGCGAUUGAUUAGUAACCCACAUUGCGAGGUUCUCCGCCGACUUCCUACUAAGCGCGUCCGCGACCACAUUCGCUUUGUCGGGGUGGUAGAGAAUAUUGACAUCAUAAUCCUUUAACAACUCCAACCAUCGCCAUUGACGCAUAUUCAACUCCUUCUGGGUAAAUAGAUAUUUCAGACUUUUGUUGUCGGUGUAGAUCUCGCAGUGCGCGCCAUAUAGGUAGUGCCUCCACAACUUCAACGCAAAGAUCACCGCCGCCAACUCCAAGUCAUGAAUGGGAUAAUUCUUCUCAUGGUCCUUUAACUGACGGGAUGCAUAAGCUAUCACUCUCCCGCCUUGCAUCAGGACACACCUCAAACCCAGAUAGGAUGCAUCACUAUAGACCGCAAAGUCCUCGCCCUGCACCGGUAAGGCGAGUAUCGGAGCCGAAGUUAACCUUUCCUUUAACUCGUUAAAACUCCGGUCACAACCGUCGCUCCAAAUAAACUUGACGCCCUUUUGCGUCAGACAGGUGAGCGGAGUCACAAUCUUCGAAAAACCCUCCACAAACCGUCGAUAGUAACCCGCUAAGCCUAUAAAGCUUCGGACCUCCGAGACGUUCGUUGGGCGCGGCCAAUUCUCAACUGCUUCGACUUUUCUCGGGUCAACUGAAACACCGCCCUCAGAAAUCACGUGCCCCAGGAAGGCGACCUCUCGAAGCCAGAAGUCACAUUUCUUUAGCUUCGCAAAUAGCUUCUCCUCCCGAAGGAUUUGAAGCACUAUUCGCAAAUGCUCCGCAUGCUCCUCGUCGCUCCGCAAAUAGACCAAGAUGUCGUCUAUGAAGACCACGACAAAUCGGUCCAAGCACGCCUUGAACACACGGUUCAUUAGAUCCAUGAAUGCUGCCGGGGCAUUAGUGAGCCCGAAAGGCAUAAUCGUGUACUCAUAGUGUCCAUAUCGCGUGCGAAACGCGGUUUUCUGAACAUCCUUCGACUUAAUCUUUAACUGAUGAUAGCCGGAUUGUAGGUCUAUCUUCGAGUACACUCGUGAUCCCUGUAACUGAUUGAAUAAGUCGUCGAUUCGGGGCAACGGGUACUUAUUCUUUAUCGUGACCCUAUUCAACUCUCGAUAAUCCACGCAGAGUCGAAACGAGCCAUCCUUCUUGCACACGAACAACACCGGGGCUCCCCACGGCGACACGCUCGGCCUGAUAAACCCCUUGUCGGGGAGAUCUUGCAACUGAUCCCUCAGCUCCCUUAGCUCUGCCGGCGCCAUACGAUACGGAGCCUUUGAGAUCGGCGCCGUCCCGGGAGCCAAGUCUAUAACAAACUCGAUCUCCCGAUCCGGCGGCAUCCCCGGUAACUCCAUGGGAAAUACAUCUGGGAAUUCCCGCACCACCGAUAAUUCUUCUAAAUUCGGAGCCACUCCCACAACGGUAGCCAAAAAUGCUACGCAGCCGCCGUUGACCAACUUUCUAGCUCUCGUCGCUGAUACCAUCGCAACGAAGCAAGAAUUUCGACAAGCUCGAUAAACGAACUCCUUCUGUCCGGGCUCCCGAAAGGUGAUCAAUUUGUUCUUACAAUCGAUCAUAGUGUAAUAUUUUGAGAGCCAGUCCAUGCCCAAAAUAACGUCAUACGCCUCUAAUUUAUUGAGUUCCAACAUCCUAAUGGGCAUUAUCCACUUGCCUACUUGCACUGGGCACGACGAGCACUCUGUGUAGGUAUUGAAUGACGACUCAGGGCCUUCCACUCGCCACUUGCCACUUGCUUCUAUGUGUAUGUCGUGCAUGCAUGCAAAUGCUCUACUAAUGAACGAAUGCGUGGUACCUGUAUCAAAGAUAGCCCUGGAGCGAACUCCGUUAAUUAAAACCAUACCUGCCAUGACGUCAGGCUCCUCGGCUUGGGUAGACUCCUCGGUUUGGGCCUGAGCGGCAAAUACCCGCCCGCUCGGUGCUGACCGGGUCACCUCCGGCUGACGCAGCAUCAGUGCGCGUCCCGCUGAUACGGGAACAUAUGGGGCCCCUCCAUGAUGAGGCGGGGGUGCUAGAGUUGACGCCGCUGACGGAGUAGACGAGGCCCUUGCUGGACAGUCGCAGCUUAUGUGCCCUUCCUGCCCGCAGUCGUAGCAUUUACCUUGACAUUGCUUACACUGCGGCGCUCGAUGACCUCGGCCUCCACAGAUAAUGCAUUGCUGCAGCCCACGGCCCCACGACUGCGACCGUGGAUACUUCGGGGGCCUCCUGGAACUAGAUUGUGCCCCCGAACCACCGCCCGAUCGCUUCCUCCCCUUGUCUUGGGAUCCAGUCAACAACUCACGUUCCUCCCGUACGUGGGCAUCUCCAUACUCUGCCCACAGCGCUCUGUCGAAGACUUUAGCAAAGGUCGUGAGCUUGAACAGCUGCACUGCUCUAUAUAUCCAUGGCCGAUGUCCCCGCAGGAACCACUCGGCUUGAUCCGCGUCAUCUUUAACAACGUCUGGGACGCAAUCUAUAAUAUGGGAGAACUCCUGCUCGUAGUCUGCUACUGAACGAUCCCCCUGUCUCAAUUUGCAGAACUUUUCCUUCAACUUCCGCUUCUCGGUGUCGGGGAAGUAAUUUCCGAACAUUGCCCCCUUAAACUCCUCACAGAGCAUUGGUGGAAGGUCAGAGGGCCGAUCCCGCUUCAACCGCUUCCACCACACCUUCGCCGCCUUUUCGAGGCAAUGGGUGGCGAGGGGCACCUUAUCCUUCUCCAGGGUAUAUAAGUCCUCGAAGAGGGUCUCCAUAGAGUCAAUCCAAGACUCCACCAUCGACGGCUCCACUUUCCCCCCCUCAAAGGUUGGUGGUUUAAAUUUCAUGAAUUUCAUUAGAGCCGUCAGCGCACACUCUCGCUCUACUUCCUCGGCCGUCGUAUCAAGUGUCGCCGAACCAGAAGUUUUCGGAGGUGCACAUGUCGGCGGGGGAACUGCCGCCACCGGAACCGCCGCUAUGCCCUCACCCUCAGCCGCUUCAGGCGCGCGGGCUGAGGGUGCGGGUGGAUCACGGCUUCCAGUCGCUGUCGCGGCCGCCGCCGCCGCUGCCGCUCCACGAAUCCCUGGAGCUGCUCAAACCGAGCCUCCUGGCGCUGCAUCGCGCCCAACAAUGCAGCGACCUGCUCGCGCAGUUCCUGCACUUCCUCCGAUCUUGGCUGCUCGGGCACCGUAGUAGGCGGCACCGGAACAGACCUACGUACGUAACAUCUUGGGGACAUUUGCUCCUGAAAAGCAACAACUCGGUUAGUUAUCUUAAUCCGAUAACUUCUUAGCGUUCGCGAAAUUGAACGACUCGACAAUGAAAUCGGGCGGAAGUACGUAAGUGUUCUAGUGCUGGACCCUUAGCAUCGCGUCGUCGGCCGCCGACACAACCACUCCGAGCCAAGAAACUAGUGUCACUUGGAUCCGUCUCUAUUCACAGCUAGAGACAUAACAUCAACUCUGACCCAAUCGAUCAACUCCCGCCACCGUCAUGGGUUCGCGUUCACUCACGCCCCUACAAUCUUAGGGUUUACCAACCUAGGGUCUCCUAGGUCAUCCUAGACUCUCUCUUUACUUGCUCUUAACGCUCUGAUACCACUUUAUCUGUCACGCCCCGAGACCGCUACCAAUUCGGUCCGGUUCAAGCGCGUCAAACAGACGCCGAACGCACAGCACCUCCUCUGUCCGUCCAAGGCUAAGCAAACUGAUCAUGUAUAAGAAUUUACCCAGGAAUCAAUUCAUACAUACACGAUCACAAGGAGCACCACUAGUGCUAACAAAUAAGAGCAAGAUACAAGUAUGAGACAUACAAGUAAAUAAAGAGAGAAGGUUCUAUCUAUUACAUUCAUUCAAUCUCUUUAAUACAUCGAUUUACUUUCAAAAUAUGAACAUAAAUAUAACAUGCUUUUACAUCUUCCAAAAUAACCUCACACCUAUACAUCAUCUACUCUCAAAUACAAAGGGUGACGGCUAAUGCAAAAGGAAGUAAAGCUAGCUAUGUACAUAUACCACUAGGGCGCUAUGCCCUUGCCACGAUCCUCGCGCUCGCAGGGGGCACUCGAACUCGGACCUGUAGAGAGUGGGGUGAGGACUAUCUUCUAUAGUUCCCAGUGGGUUCGGCCGCCGACUCCGCCGGUCUCCCCACUAGGUUCAAGUGGGCACAAGUAGAUAAACAAAUAGAUAGAUAUGGAAAGCUGUGAAGACAGAAUAGUAAAGCUACACUACUAUGCCCGAAUCAUGUAUAUGAAUGCAUGCACAAUGAAAUAGAUAAUCAACUAGCUCGUCACAUGUCCAAGAAGUAAAGUUAUCUACCUGUCCAUUAAUCUCGUGGCGCACCCGAGGGUUCGCCUACAACUCACAUAGCCAUCUCGACGCAUAGGGAGACUAGACUCAAACUACAAUCCGAGACCGUUUGUGGGACCCCACAUAGGCCAUCCCUCAGGACCCCAAAUAGGCCAUCCCUAUCCCACGGGACCCCAAAUAGGCUAUCCAACGUGACCGACUCCGGAGCGCACUACUUGUGUGGAGCGACCAUCACAAGUUAGGAACAGACAGUGAGUAUGAUCCCAUCCUCUCAUCUCGAGCAUACCCUAUCCUCUAGGGUUACUAUCACCAUAAGUCAAUGGGUUUCAUAUACGCUACGACUCACAUAUGCCACUCGUUCUUUGUUUAUUAACAACUAGAUGCCACGCGUUCUUUUGCUUUCAACAAAUGAGUCAUUCUUUCAUCUCUGCACUAUAGGAUUUACAAGCCUCGACCCAAUCCUCAUCAAUCCACUAUAUCAAGCAACUAAUGCAUAAUAUGAUAUCAUCUAGGAAAGCAUAAGGAAAGGCAAUGCACAAUUAUCCUACAAUGCAAGUGAAUUCAAUAUGCAAGAUCUCAAAGUACUAAGACAUAAAGGGGAGUCCAGUUGCUUCGGAAUGAUCACCACCCACCUUUUGGUAGUGCCGCAAUAGUAGAAAACUCGACUUCGUAGUCCUUGGUUGACGCUUCGACUCCUCGGGUCGAUUCGAACCCCUAAGUGCUUGGUUCGGCGAUAUCUUCGCACCCACUCGUCGUAUCGACGAACCGUCUUCGCCGACGCGUUCCGAGACCUAGUAAUUAGGUUUACAACCCGGCGAAAUAGAUCAAGACCCCACGUUUUCAAAAAUCCCAAAACACGCCAUAGAAUGGCAACGAGGGAGAAAUCUAUGGUUCGAGCUUCAAAUCCGCUGCUAGAACCCUCUAUUUAUCUCCUCUAGGUUCCAUUCGAACAACCUCUAAGCAAUAAAACCCAAUCUCAAGAAAUCCACCAUGGAUGGGUUUGGGGCUUACCUCUAUACCAAGGUCCAAGCUUGCUCUAGCUUGUAGGAGAGGGAAGAAGAUGAUCUUCUUCUUCUUCUUGGUCUUCUCUUUCCUCUUUCUCUUCUUUUCCUUCUUUCCCUUCUUCUCCUUCUUUUCUUCUUUUCUUUUCGUUCUAGAGAGAGAGAGGGAGAGAGAGAGAGAGCAAAUGUGAUAAAUGGGAGAGAGAGAGAGAGAGGUCCCCCACCUCUCAUAUAGGCCAUUUUACAAAUAGGCCCCUCAACUUUCUAUCUAUUAAACAGCCGUCACUCGGCUGAUUUCACAGCGAGGGACCGGUCCCAAGUCGGGGAGACCGGUCCCCGAGAGCUUUUCAUCUCGGGCAGAGAGAGUUUCUCAUUCGGGAACCGGUCCCUGCUCGAGAGACUGGUCCCCAGGAGACCGGUCCUUGCCUGGGAGACGGGUUCCCGAGAGUUAGAUUUUCGGGACUUAGCCAAAUUUUGGCUAUUUCUCGCUGGGUUAAUGUUUGGGGAUCGGUCCUCCCCUGCUAGGGACCAGUUGCAUCAAGGAUCCCCGCAAGCCUAGCCUAAUGGGACCGGUCCGUCCCUGCCAGGGACCGGUCCUCGAGAGCAAUUCUGCUCCAGUGCAGAUUUUGCACUACUGCUCUCGCGGACUCUUCCUUAAUGCACUUUAUGCAUUAUAAUCACCUUCGGACUUUCCGGAGCUUACUCACUCGACAACUAAUCGAUUCUAGAUGAAGUCAAAUCCUCGGAUUUCGAGAAUUCACUUUCUUACAGAUAUGCUCCGAAACCUUCAAGACUUCAACUCAAUCUACGAAACUUGCCAACAUACAAGACUUAAUAAGUUUCGUCCCCAAAACUUGCCUGCAGGCAGGGAUGAUUCUGUACUUAACGAACCAGAACCAUACAUGCAUGCAAUGCAAAAAAGAUGCGUGAUAACGAAGCAUGCAAUUUACAACAACAACAACAUUAUACCCGUGACCACGUCAGCCGACUGAUCAUCCUCCUGACGUGUCAUCAUGUAGGCAUGUCCGUCAGUGGUCUGGUGUACCUUCUUUACCUGACGGGAUGUCGAGGGGCGUCCAGACGAAGGAUACGUUGUACUUCCAUGAUCCUGCCAUGGAGCUGCUGGAGUAGAUGCUGCUGCAGAUGCUGCUCCUACUCCACUGGUGCAAUCUGCCCGAAGGUGUCCACGUUGGCCACACAUGUAAUAGUGAUUGUGGCACUGUGGGCACUCGAUAACCUUGUGAGCCUCUCUGCAGAUAACACAAGGUCUGAUGCUCUGCUGCUGAGACGUAGCGGGGGCGCUGCUCGAUCCUUACUGCGCCUUGUGAUGCUUGGGUGGUCGUCUAUUGCCCGAUUGACCACCAGCAAAACUUUCCUGGGUACGCUUCCUACCCUCAGUCUUCACGGAUGCGUCCUGUUCGAUUCGAGCCUCGUCCAUAUCACUUUGCACCAUCAAGGCCCGAUCCAAGCUCUCGUCGAACGUCAACGCGCCAUGGGACGCGAUCAGAAGUCGAAUACCGGGCUUUAGCCCUCGCAAACAACCUUGCCUUGUGAUACUCAUCAUGAACCACGAAUAGAAUCAGUGAAAUAAUGCAAGAGAAGUCUCGUUCAUACUCUGCUACGGUAUGACUACCUUGCUUGAGACGCUCAAGCUCGCGCUCCAAGCUCUGCUUAGUGCUGUCCUUGAAGUACUGCUCGUAAAGGAGUUUACGGAACUCCUCCCAGCGUGGAUAGAUGCUCCCAAGUUUGCGCUCGAAGUGGCUGAUCCACCACGAAUACAAAUCCCCCUCAAGACAGUGAGCAGCUAGCGGUACGCGAUCCAACUCCUCGAUGUAUAGAUCAUGGAACAGUUUCUCCAUGUGGGUGGCCCAAUGCUCGAUCACCCAAGCGUCAUCAUUCUUUCCAGUGAACUUCGGCGGAUCGAAUUUUUGAAACUCUACCAGCCUUGCCCUGAUGUGAGUGCUCUCCACUGUAGGGGUAUCAGUACUCCUAGCGAAAACCGUCGUGGUGGCCGUCGGCGUCGUUGUAGUCACGGCUGGAGCUACGGUAGGCGCAUGCAUCGCGGGAGGAUCAACGAUCACCGGAGUGUCCUGUGCCGGAGGUGGAGCUGGGGUAGCAGUAGCUGCAGCCUGCUGCUGCAAGAACUGCUGAAACAAACCAGAGAGGGUCGUCAGCUGACCCCUCAAAUCAACUACCUGGGCCUCGAGCUGCUGAGUUCGAGUACCACUCAGCGGCUCCGUGCCCAACUGCUCCCUAUCACCCCCACUCAAAGGAGCACGGGUACUGCCGGAGGUUUUCGCACCAGCACGUCCACCACCACGACCCAGAAGAGGGGGUCUACCACGAGCCAUCUGCGACAGAAAACACCGUCAAGUGAACCAAUCGACUCGACAUACACACACACCGAGACUCAAGCCCAAUACAACGCACUCACAUGCUUAUAUGCCUUAGGUCUUCCUAUGGGUCAACCUAACCAGUGGUUCAGUUAGAAAUUUGUAAAUGCAGUUGUAGUUGUUUCACGCUCUGAUACCAUCUUAAUCUGUCACGCCCCGGGGCCCAUUUUAAAAGCUUUUUUAAAAUCCAUUACCAUUUUAGAAUUCAGAGUCGUGGAAGAUGUGCCACUUUUAUUUUAUUUUUUUCAACCUGGUCCAUGUGACGUACAGACCCGCCACAAAUACGAAGUUCCUCUGUCCACUCGGACAGAGUCUCCUUUGUAUUUGCACGGCGUACCAACUGUACAACAGGAUCUCAACCACAACCUACAUUUAUCAAUCAACAACUAAUUCAUGAUAUGCAUUUUCAUACAACUAUCGAUCCUUAGAGAUGAUGCAUGCCUCUAAGCACUCCUUAGGCGCUGGAUGAUGCAAUGCACAAUACAACAAUCAUCCUAUUUAAAAGUGCUCUCUGUCCGGAAAUAUUAUUUUUAAAAUCUAAUUCAAUUAUUUACAAAACCAAUUCAAAAAUCUUUUUAAAACUGUUUUUCACAUGGAAACUCUAUUUUGAAAACCAGCUACCUCGAGGGGUAGAAAACCACAAGUAUAAAUAUAACAGCCGAAAAUCCAUAAAACCAGAACCACAGAUCCACGAUUAUCCGUUCACAUCAUGAAUAACGAAAAUAUCCACAAAACCAAUCCACGAACAGACAAACAAUCAUAGAGAUUAUCUAACUGAACCAUUUAUUAAUAAAGACUACUAAAUGCAUAAAUAAGAAUAACCCGGGUGAUGGUCGCUAUUGCCGACUAGCUAGAACAUCCUCUCGUCGCGCCCAACACCAACUCCAAGCUCGAAUCACCUGGGAAAUGGGGGGUGAGAAACCGCAACCAUGGUUUUCCAGUGGGUACGACAGAGCCACGAAGGCAAGCCGUAAUCACCGAAAACCAAAGGAGAUAGAUAAACAAGAUAUAUAUAUACUGUGAUGCGAAAAGGAAACUACAAUUGCUAUAACAUGUAUAUAAGAAGCAAGAACUAAAACUGCUACUAUAUAGAAUCAAUGCAAGUAUGCCUCAAUGUAAUAAACUAGAAACUGUAGCCAAUCUGUGCCUGCUAUAUUCGUGCGCAGACUCAAGCGCUGCCUGUCACUAUCUGCACUGAGCUGAUCCAUACGCCCCACAGGACGACCCAUCCGGAUAAGUACACCUCCGAUCGGUGGCCAAACCGAUCCGGUGUCAUGAAUACCCACAAGUGCUCUGACUAAGUCAUGCCAGUAUGCUCAAACAAAAAUCAACUAAAGCCGGUGCCUAGGCCGAAGCCAGAAACAAGGGCGUACAACGCCGAGCCACGAUAGAUAUAAGGGCGUACAAUGCCGAGCCACGAUCAACCAGAUCGAAACACAUGACAAGAGAGUCGAUGUGUUGCCUGGACCCAAGGUCCACAGAGAUGCAAAGUACAAAUGCAAGCCUGCUCUACAUAUCUAUCCAUAUCUAUCCAAAUGCAAUCAACGAGAUAAGAUAACUGAACGAUAAACAAACAACGACAUGUAGAGUCUAUAAUGCUGGAAUAGAAAAACAGAAGGAGGUGAAACGCUCUCACCGACUACCAGCUCGAAGCACCCACUUGUCAUAAAAGCGUCGAAAACCUGGGUGCGCACAAUCAGCAACCGGACCUACGAAGAUCCACUAGGUCAGUAUUCAACACACUAACCAGAAGUACACUGUCGCACAAACCCCCACACAAGUCCUCGAAUCGGUUUCCCAAAAUCGAUCACCGCAACUCACCGGAAGUCUCGAAAACCACGUCGGGACGCCGUCGGGACCUACUAAGUGUCCUGAAACUCACCGACUCGUGUCAUGAGUCACCCGCUGCCACAAAACACUCCUGUUUGGAUGUCUUGGGAGCAAACACAAGAUAACACCACUAUACAAUUAUCGCCGGAUAAUUGUAGAAUACGGGUUCCCGGAAGCGUCUAUUUUGACACCGGAACCCACCGUCGCUCACCCAUCAUCACCGAACCCACAAAAUGAUGAUGGUGACCAGCCAACAAGACUCAGCGACAAUUCACAGGAUAAACAAAUCAUGUCGGAAGAAAUCAGAACUGAAACCGCGUUCUUUCGGCGAAUUUCGCCGAAAACGCACCGAAAUUGACUCCUCGAUUUCCGCAAAAGCUAACGGAUCAUGGACAAUUAGUCCAGAGGUCACUACACACAUAUACACACUGCCCACAGUAGCCACAAGGUGCACAAUUGCACAAAAGCCCCUGUAUUUACGUAAAAUCCUAAUAUUUUAUGUAAAUCGGGUGAUAAAAUGGCUCGUUCACGCAAACCGAGGACUCCCAAGGACCGCCGAGACACGCACUGACAGGUCUCGAUGUGCCGGAGGCCAAGCUCAAGGUCCGGAGCACAACGGCUCACUGUGGAAAGCGCGGGAGCAACUCGAAGGUUCUACAAACAGCGCGCAGUCGGGGAAAAUCGUGCCGAACAGGCCGAUUCGAUAUUCGCUGAUCCAAAGUAAGGUGAGCACUGUGAUCAGGUCUGACCAACGAUCACCGUUCUCACCUCCGGAGGUAUCGGAACAGCCUUAGAUCGCCGGAACAGUGCGCGCAAACCCAUAACAACAGCCAAACAGGCUCUACAGGGUCGACACCGUCGAAACAGCGAAACGGAGCCUUCCCGAUGGAAACUAAGGUGAGCACGAUGAUCAGAAAUUUGCCACGAUCAUCGUGCUCCCUUCCGCAAAGAUCGGGAGGCCUCAAAAGGCUCAGAACAAGAAACUGCCAAAGAAAAGCCCUAAAUCGGGCUUGGCCGGAGCAAGCUUGCUCCGGCCGGCCUCCGGCGGCACGGAAAGGUGCGCGCGGGCCAGGGAUGGGUGCGGGCGAGUGGAGGAGCAAGGUGCCCACCUCAUUUGGCAGCGAGGAGCGGCGGCGGCGACGGCGGAACCAACCAAGCCCGUACCAGAUCCGCUCGGGUUCUAAGGGCUGCUGCGGCCACGGCGACGGCCGGGGCACCUCGGGGCAGCGCCGGGGAAGGUGCAGGGAGGCAAAGCAGCCUCGGCCAAGGCUCCAACCCGAGAAGAGGAGAGGGGUGGAGAGAGAUGGAGAGAGAGAGAUGAAGAGGAAGGCUGCGACUGCUGCUGGCCGGCCGGGGCUGGGUCGGCAGCGGCGGCGCAGCAAGGGCAGGGUAACCAAGGGAGGCGGCUGGGGGUUUAGCUCGGACUAGGGUUAGGGUUUUCUUAGUGCAAACCCUAAAACAAGCAAAUAUACAAGGUGCAAUAUGCGAGUUAGCCCACGAAACCUCAGUAUUUAGUACUGAGUCCCUCACAGCGCAUGUACAAUGCGCGAAUACCCCUCCACGUGCGAUCUCACACAAAACGGUACAUAAAAUGUCACGACUUUUGUGAAAUUACCGUUUUGGUAACACCGACCUCUCCACGAUCAACGCGCGAUUUCUGCAGAUCCGUCUUUCAAAUUUGCGAAUGGAUUGCACCAUUGCGAUCAGCACGACGAAGACGACAAAGCUACAAUUUUGGUUCGCGUCGAUCGAUCACGGAUUUGCGACGAAAUCCGUUUCCUCUCCGAAAGGCCAAAAUGACGCUCAAAUACAUAAGAAACAUGUAUUUUCAGAUUUUCUCGAAAUCCGUGAGUCAAACCCAAAAUCCGUCAGUGCCAUUAGUUCCAGAAUGGCUGAAUCGUUCAAAACAAGCUAUUGGAUCGCUGUGAACCGAGUCCGAUACGAGCCUGAAGCCAACUUCACACUAUGGCUUCUCCGGAAAAUCGAGUUACUAUUCACCUUAAGUGAAACUUGGAGAUCACGUAAAAUCUCCGUUUUAGCUCGAUUUCUCCCGAAACUUGACGAGUGCUUUUGUAAUUAAAUUACACACAAAAACAUCGUCAACUGAGAGUUUAGAUACACUGCCAAAAUCUCGGUCCUUACAAUAGGAGCCGAUGAACCCGAUACCGUCGGAGAAAUAGCCGUCACCGGUGCUGCCGUCACCGCAGGAGGUGGUACUACAGGAGCAAUAGGUGCGGGCGGAUCCCUCAGCACAUAUGCCGCCGCCGCCGCCUGUCGCGCCACCAACUCAUGGAGCUGUCCAAUUUGCUCCCCCUGUUGCCGCAUAGCCCCGGCCAAUGCCGCUACUUGGGCUCGCAGCUCGCGCACUUCAUCUGAUCCCGAUUGCUUAGGCACCUCAUCUGGCAAUGCCAGAGUGGAUCUACGCGUGUAGUGCCUCAGGGACAUUUGUUCCUGAAACGUAUCACACGCAUUAGUACUCGACACAUGUGACUCUUACACGUUCCAAUCAACUACCCAAUUAAGCGAAAGCAAUCAAGUGUAAUUAUUUCCAACCCUUGGCAUCAUGUGGUCGGCCGCCCCACACAAACCCCUUAAGUAGAAAACAAAUAAACACUUGAAUCCAUCUCUAAUUCCUUUUAGAGAAGUACCAACAUAAACCCAAUCAAUUAGCUUCCGCUAUUACCAAGUCCACGUUAAACAUUUCCUAAGUCCCUAAGGUCUCCAAUCCUAGGGUUCCUAAGUCCAUCCUAGACCUUUACUUUCAUCCAAUCGCUCUGAUACCAUUAUAUCUGUCACGCCCCAAUCCCCGCCAAUUUGGUCGGGUUCGGGUCACGUUAACAGACGCCGAACGAACAGCAUCUCUCCUGUCCACCCAAGGCUCUAACAACGAGUACAAUUAAGCAAUCAACCAAAGAAAUUUGCAAUUAUACAAGGCUUGCACGAGGGCAAGCAACAACGGAAGCGAAAGCUCUAAGCUAAAUAUACAACCAUGCACAAUAUUUGAUUACAUUUAAACCAAAUACUUGUAACUAAAACUAUUACAUACAAUUUGCUUCCAUUCAAAGUUCUUUACAUCUUAAUCAUUCGACAAAAAAUACAUGAUUGUUGUCAACUUAAAUAGCUAUAGAUCAACAAAAUAAAAGUUGAUAUAUGUACACAAAGGAAUGACUAAAUGCAAUACUUCGGUGGCCACUAGCUAUGGCGCAAUACCCUUGCCUCGGUUCUCCGCCGGCCUGCUCGCGCUCGGACCUGUAGGGUUAGUUGUGUGAGAACUACAAUGAAGUUCUCAGUGGGUUCGGCAACCGACCUCGCCGACUUACCCACUAGGUCUAUUCAGGCAUAAGUAUUUCAAAGGAAAGAAAAACUAGUACUGUAACCAAUGCUAAUGCUAAUACUAUGCCUGCAAGAAAGAUGUCAGUGGAUAUAUAAUCAAAAUAGAAUGCUCAUGCAUACAUGCUUGUUGUGAGGAAGUGAAUUCUCGAAAUCCGAGAGAGCAAAUAGAAUGUACUUCAUCCAGGAUCGACUAACUGUCGAGAGAAUACCCUUUGGGGAAGUUAAAAAUGUCCAAAACACAAAAAGUGCUUUGGAGUUGAGUCUGUGAGAGCAAAUAAAAAAAAAAAAUCUGGACUUGGCAGAUUUUGCUCUCGGGGACCGGUCCCUGAAGGGGAGGACUGGUCCCCAUAGCUACAGUCGCGGGGUUGCCUAAUGCAACCGGUCCCUAGGCUGAGGGGACUUGUCCCUGUGUGCGACGCUAGCGUGAAAUGCCGAAAUUUGGCUAAGUCCUGAAAGUUCCCCUUUCGGGAAUCGGUCUCUCAGGAAGGACCGGUCUCCCAGGGAUCGGUCCCUCGGGUGAGGACCGGUUCUCGUACGCAAAAAGUCCCCAGGCCGCACGGAGGGCUUUCGGGGACCGAUCUCCCUUACCAGGGACCGGUCCCUCUAGGCGAAAACUGCCCAGUGAGGGCUGUGCAAUAGAUGGAAAAUGGAGGGGUUUAAGUGCAAAGUGGCCAUUAUGUGAGGGGUGUAUAUGGGAAAUAACCCUCUCCCUCAGCCCUCUCCCUCAGCCCUCUCCCAUCUCAUUCCCUCUCUAUCUCUCUUUCUUAUUGCUCUGUCUCUCUCUACAAGGAAAAGAUGAGAAGAAGAAAAAGAGAAGAAGAAGAAGGAAAGGAAGGAGAAGAAGAAGAAAAGGAAGGAGAAGAAGAAGGAGAUCAAAGGAAAGGCCUUGAGCAUCUCCACCUCCAUCUCCUCUUCUCCUUGGAGCUAGCACAAGAGGUAAGCCCUAACCCUAGCUUUUGGAAACUUAGGGUUUUUGGGUUUUGAUGCUUUGGAAUGGGUCAAAUGGACCCUACGCAUGCUUCUAAAUAGAUCAAUCCCAACAAUCUAGGGAUUUAUUGGGUGGUUUGCUAUAGGUGCAAACCUAGGGCACCCAAAAUGGGAUUUUUGGUAAAGUAUGAGAUUGAUCUCAUUUGAAGCCUUGGAAAUCUAAUUGCUAGGUCACAAAACACGGGGGCGAAGUCGGAUUUAGCAUUCGGCGAGCCGGCGUGAAGUUAUCGGCAAAACGAGGCCGAUCUAGCGUUGUCUUGGACAAGGAAGGCUAAAGCCUUUUCGUAAAGCUCGCCGAGAAGAAUUUCUAAAGCCUUCACAUUGAUAAAAGGUGGGGGGUGUCAUCCGAAACUUUCGAACUCCUUUCUAUGUCUUAGAUUGCAUUUAAUCUCAUCUCUUACAGGUUGCUUUGUAGGAUUGCAUAGUAGCUCCAUUCCUUAUGCUUUCUAAUUGAUAACCUAGUGUACUUGGAACGCUUGGUAACUUAGAUAGGUGAGGAUUGGGUCGGAACGUGGAUCCUAUGAUGCGAAAGAAAGAGGUGAACCCGAUGGGGGUAUUGAUGACAUAAAAAGUAGUGUUUAAUGUAAAAGAACACACGAGUGGCAUCCAAAUGUUAAAUAAUAACGAGUGGCAUUAAUGUAGUGUAAAUGACACUAGAGGUUUGAGAACCUAGGGAUAGGUGGAUCCCUUAGAAAAUGCCUUGUGGAUAANNNNNNNNNNNNNNNNNNNNNNNNNNNNNNNNNNNNNNNNNNNNNNNNNNNNNNNNNNNNNNNNNNNNNNNNNNNNNNNNNNNNNNNNNNNNNNNNNNNNNNNNNNNNNNNNNNNNNNNNNNNNNNNNNNNNNNNNNNNNNNNNNNNNNNNNNNNNNNNNNNNNNNNNNNNNNNNNNNNNNNNNNNNNNNNNNNNNNNNNNNNNNNNNNNNNNNNNNNNNNNNNNNNNNNNNNNNNNNNNNNNNNNNNNNNNNNNNNNNNNNNNNNNNNNNNNNNNNNNNNNNNNNNNNNNNNNNNNNNNNNNNNNNNNNNNNNNNNNNNNNNNNNNNNNNNNNNNNNNNNNNNNNNNNNNNNNNNNNNNNNNNNNNNNNNNNNNNNNNNNNNNNNNNNNNNNNNNNNNNNNNNNNNNNNNNNNNNNNNNNNNNNNNNNNNNNNNNNNNNNNNNNNNNNNNNNNNNNNNNNNNNNNNNNNNNNNNNNNNNNNNNNNNNNNNNNNNNNNNNNNNNNNNNNNNNNNNNNNNNNNNNNNNNNNNNNNNNNNNNNNNNNNNNNNNNNNNNNNNNNNNNNNNNNNNNNNNNNNNNNNNNNNNNNNNNNNNNNNNNNNNNNNNNNNNNNNNNNNNNNNNNNNNNNNNNNNNNNNNNNNNNNNNNNNNNNNNNNNNNNNNNNNNNNNNNNNNNNNNNNNNNNNNNNNNNNNNNNNNNNNNNNNNNNNNNNNNNNNNNNNNNNNNNNNNNNNNNNNNNNNNNNNNNNNNNNNNNNNNNNNNNNNNNNNNNNNNNNNNNNNNNNNNNNNNNNNNNNNNNNNNNNNNNNNNNNNNNNNNNNNNNNNNNNNNNNNNNNNNNNNNNNNNNNNNNNNNNNNNNNNNNNNNNNNNNNNNNNNNNNNNNNNNNNNNNNNNNNNNNNNNNNNNNNNNNNNNNNNNNNNNNNNNNNNNNNNNNNNNNNNNNNNNNNNNNNNNNNNNNNNNNNNNNNNNNNNNNNNNNNNNNNNNNNNNNNNNNNNNNNNNNNNNNNNNNNNNNNNNNNNNNNNNNNNNNNNNNNNNNNNNNNNNNNNNNNNNNNNNNNNNNNNNNNNNNNNNNNNNNNNNNNNNNNNNNNNNNNNNNNNNNNNNNNNNNNNNNNNNNNNNNNNNNNNNNNNNNNNNNNNNNNNNNNNNNNNNNNNNNNNNNNNNNNNNNNNNNNNNNNNNNNNNNNNNNNNNNNNNNNNNNNNNNNNNNNNNNNNNNNNNNNNNNNNNNNNNNNNNNNNNNNNNNNNNNNNNNNNNNNNNNNNNNNNNNNNNNNNNNNNNNNNNNNNNNNNNNNGGGGGUUGUAUCCCAGAGAACAAAAAAAAAAAGAAGCCAAAAAUAUCAAAAAAAAAAAAACCCGGCGGCACGCCGGUACGUGCCGGCGGCACGCCGGUACGUGCCGGCGGCACGCCGGUACGUGCCGCUUUGUCUCCAGCGGCACGCACCAGCGUGCCGCCGGCACGCGGGGGGGUGCGAUACCCCCCCUGUACCAUGCCCCCUUCUUGGGGGCACGGGGCGUGCCGUACGGCACGCCCCGUCACUUAAAACCUUGUUGUGGACCCUAGUAGUAGUGCUCCCUCACUUAGAGAGGAAUUCGAUUGGGAUAUUGACUCUAGAUAUAGAGCAUCCUCACUUGGAGAGGGUGUGAUUGGGUUGUUGACUCUAGUUGUAGGGUGUCCUCACUUGGAGAGGAUAGAUCUAGCUCACAGUCUGCGUUUAGGGUGGUAUAGCCAUCCUAUCCCCACAUGGAGGGGAUUUUCGUCGAGUACUCCGGAGUGUCGCGCGACUAGGAUCACUUGGAGGUCCGGACCACAUGGAGGUCCGCAGACGGUCCCGGGCUAGGGUGCACUUGGAGCUCCCUCCCCACUUUGGGAUUGAAAGGUGAGUUAUGGGCGAGCCCAAGGGCCUCGCCACAGAUUGGGUAAAUGAAAAGUUAAAGGUUUAAAAUGUCAUUGAACAUUAUUAUUCGAACAUGGAUCGAAUUUGUUAGCAUGGUAGCAAACCUUUAUUAUAUGAUGCAUGCAUUCAUAUUCAUGAUUAUGGGCAUAAUAGCAUAGUUUUCCUACUAUCGCAUUUACAGUUUUUAGAUACAUAUCUAUCUAUCUAUCUGUUGUUGCUUGUGCCCACUUGGACUUAGUGGGGAGGUCGGCAGAGUCGGCGGUCGAGCCCACUGGAAACUAUGGAAGAUAGUUCUCACCCCACUCUAUUUCCAGUGGUAGGUACAGGACUGCCGAGAGAGGACCGCGGCAAGGGCAUCGCGCCCGAUCAGUGAGACCGUGGUAGUAUAGUAGCUUUCCUUUUUGCAUUAGCACACCUAUGUAUUGAGAGAGAUUCAUUGUAGGUGAGGAUUUGGAGAGCUAUGUAUUUUGAGAUGAAAAAUGUAUUCAUUUAAAGAAAAAUGAUGAAACUAUUGUAAUAGUUAGUAAAAUACUAUCUUUAUUUUCACAUGCUAUAAAUUGAGGAUUACUUGCUCUUGGUAUUGUCGGCACUAUUCGUGCCCCGUUCAAUGUGUAUGUUUAGAAUUUAAUUUCCUGGGUAAAUUCUUUUACACAUUCCUGUUAUUUAGCCUUGGGCGGGAAUGGGAGGUGCUGUCCGUUCGGCGGUCCGCCGCCGCGCCCGAAUCGUGCCAAAUUGGUAGUGGUUUCGGGGCGGGGCAUGACACUUGUUCCAUAACUUUACUUUGGCUUUUACCUAAUUGUCACGCCCCGGGACCGAUACCAAUUUGGGCCGGCCCGAGCACGUCAAACAGACGCCGAACGGACAGAGUUUCCCCUAUCGGCCCUCAUCACCUGUACAUUUUCAAGUAGAGAAAAGCACUAGCGGAAACAUACACAAACGGCUUACACGAGAGUAAGCAAUAGCCAUGAGUGAAAGAAAGGAAACUGAACAUCUACACAAGUACUAUGUGUAACAUACCAGAUUUUGGUAUAAAAAUAAAAAUAAAUAAAAAUAGUGUGGAAAACUAUUUUUAUUGGAUUUAUAGAAGUAAAACAUAAGUCAGAAGUGACUUGUGCUGAAAUCGGAAUUAAAACAGAAGAUUUAGAAUUUUCUGUUGGAAACGGGGCAGAUAAAUUAGCAGAAAAUGCACAGUCUCAGAAAAUUAUGAAAAUUGGCAGAGAUGUCAGAAAUAUUUUUAUGAGGCCGGAUUUAAAGUUUCAUAUUUUUCUGACACCCGUAGAGUGAGAAAUAAAAUCCAACAGUUAUCUGAUAAAGAUUACAGUUCAGUACAGUUUUCAGUGACCAAACGGGGUCGAAACUGAAAAAUUAAAAUAUAUUCUUACUCAGUACAUAAAACCGAACAUGACUGUCAAGUUUGAGCUCAAACGGACACUCAGGGAGUUCCGGCGAAAGUUAUCAGAUUUCAAGCUGCCCGGGAUGAAUAGUGUAAUUGUUGAGGGGUUAAAUUGUAAAAUGGGCUUAAGCCUUCUUCUCCCUCAACCGUGGCUGCCCCAAACCCGCACACACAACACACGCACACACGCAUGGAAGGGAGAGAGAAAACCCUCUCUUUCUCUCUCUAAAUCUCUCCCAAAAAGAGUGGAUUUGGUGGAGAUCGAAGCUUGGAGGUGGAUCGCCUUCGUCUUCUUCAUCUUUUCCAUGAUUUGGAGCUCAUUUUGAGGUGAGCUUCUUGAGUCCUUUAAUGGCAUUUCUCUCUAGUUUGGUUUUUAAGCUCUAAGAAUGGGUUUAGAGGUAUUCUAGCAUACUAAUUAGAGGUUUGAUGCUUGAAACCAAAGCUCUAAUGGUGGAUUUUUACCCAGUGAAACCUAGAGCUCCAAAAUGAGGGCUUUAAUGGUAGAUCUUUAAUGCUUGGUUUAAAUACCUUAUAAAUGGAUUUAGAAGAGUCCUAGCAUACUAUCUAGAUGAUUAAUGCUUGAAUCAUGGAUCAAUCUAGUGAUUUCUUGCAUAGUUGUAACCUAGGGCUCCAAAAUGCAAACUUUCAAAAUAUGAGGGUUUGAUCUCAUUUGACCCUUCGUAAACCUAAUUGCUAGGUAUNAGAAAUUAUUGAAACAUUGCCGAGCAGCCUAACGGCUUGGCAGAAGCGGUUGCGCAAGCAAAUGGAUCGUUAAACCAAAUGCCUCCCAGUUUACUCUAGUUUGGGAGUAUAAAACUUUCAAACGUAAAAAAUGGACGUUUAGGCUUCGGGUCCGCAGGGAGGACCGAGGCGAUAUCGUAAAUUCAUGAAAACGGAUUUGAAGCAUCGUGGCACAUAACCGAAGACAUUUAAUUUUCGGAUCGUGAAUUGGAGGCCGUUCGGGUGGUCGCGUGAGAGAUCGGGCCAAACCGGGUGCCGGGUGCCGCGGGCGGCCGAUUGCAAGUGUCGACAAGCAAUCGGAAUGCGAAAUAAGGUGGGUUGUGUUUACCGAAGCGACUAGGUUGCCCUUUAUGUCUAAGAAAUGAGAUUUCAUAUUGAUGCAUAUUGACAUAAUAUAAGAAUGUGAAUAGAAUGCAUGUUAACAUACUAUAGAAAUGCUAAAUGUAAUGCAUAAUGAAUUAAGUGCUAAAAGAAUGCAUGAGAUGCUAAGUAUGGACUAUUUUGGAUAAUGACUAUAUGUAUGUUGACAAAUCAUGUGAUGCUAGUGGUAUAUGUGCAUGAUGAUAUAUUAUGAAUUUACAUAUUGUGGAUUAUGUUAAAUAGAAAAACAUACUUGAUGACAUAUUGCCAUGUUGUGGAACAUAGUGGACAAUCUAUAUAUAUAUUAGAUCGAGUGGCAUUAAACCUAGCAUCUUGAACCUAACAAACACUUGUGGUGAUUGAUCAUAUAUAUCCUGGUGUCAUUCAUGUAUGUUAGGACCCUAUUAUUGUGUAAAUGUGAGAGUUGGACUUGAACAUUAGUAAACAAGGGUGACAAUGACAAUAGAGACAUGAUUGUCAUCAAGAAAGUGAUUGUUAAACAUAGUUUAACCAAGAGUGGCAUUGGACCAUAUAUAGAGAGUGGCAUGAUUAAAUAGGUAGAAACCUAUUGUGACAUUGGCAUUGUGACUAGUGGCUAUGAAUCCUCAAGUUGAGGAUUGAUCGAUACUCACGAUAAGUCUUGGCUUGAGGGAGGUAGCUCCCCCUCGGGCGGUGCGCUCCGGAGUUGGUCACCACUAGGCGUGGUAAAGUCCCCCCAGAAGACGGUCCCUAGGGAGGUUCGAGUCCCCCGCUAUUAAGGGAUUUUGGGUUGUGAGUUAUUGGGGUUAACAUGGUUAACCGGUAAGAUUGGGUCAAAGCCAAGUGAAUGUACAGCAUUAUGUGUUACGGGUUUGGUAUCCCAGUUAAGAGGAUUUAGGGCUGAGGUGUAUGUGAGACGUCCAUCACCUUGAGCCUAGUUUUGGUGCGGUAUUCCGCAGUUGAUUGACUCGAGACCGAAUCGGGUGGUUAGCUUGGCUAGGGUAGAGGAAAACCUUAGGAGCAAAUAACCAAUGAUGUAAAGUGAUAAGAUGUAUAAAUUAUGAAAAAGCUAUGGAUAGCAUGAUACAAAGUAAAAUCAUUUAUUCUACUUGUAUAGUUGCAUGAUUCGCAUAUAGCAUGGCAUUAUUGCAUUCGUGAGGCAUAGCAUGGUUUUAUUAGUUGCAUAAUAAAGAUAUAUAUCUAUCUGUUUAUUGAACUAACUUGCAGUUGCCUCCCUUGGACCUAUUGGUCGAGCUUUUCCCUUGGGUGGCCGUACCCACUGGGAACCAUGGAGUUGGUUCUCACCCCACGUGGUUUUGGGGUGUUACAGGUUCGCACAUGAGCGGCGCGGCGGCGCGAGGCGAGGGCGUAGUUCCAUAGUUAGCGCCCUACCACCGAGACCAGAGAUAGCGGUACCCUGAGUCGGCCUUACUUAGGGAUGUAAGAAAAUGAAAAGGAUCAAGUUGUAAUAAUAUUGUUAAAGCUAGAUUGUAUUUGGAAGCUAAAAAGAAUGUAUUAUGUAAUUGUGAUGUAAAAUGAAUCUAAUGUGAAUGAAUGUAAUAAUAUAGGAUGUGUUUAUGUUGUUUGAUACCUUCCAUUAUGCAAUUUUGAUUGAAAUGUGUUCAUGGUUGGAACUUUGUACAUUGUAUUGAUUGCUAUGCCUUGAACGUACAGGGGAGACUUUGUCCGCAGUACAGGGGAAACUCUGUCCGUUCGGCGAUCUAUCGGCGGCGCCGCGACCCGGCCAAAUAUCCUACUCUUGGUUGAGGUACCAAGGGUCACCCACGCCGGUGGGUUCCUUUUUCGAGUUGGUUAUCCAGAUUCCUCCGUGAUGUUGUACAAUCAGGUUGUCUAUAUAUUUACUUAUUCCUUUUUGUACGAUACGGAGUGCUAUACGCUAUACUUUAAGUACGUUGAUACGUUCAUCUAAUGACUAAAAUGAGAGAUAAUAAAUGGUAAGAAAUCGUAAUCGGAAAGAAAUAAGAAUCGAUAAGAAUGAACAUCGGCAAGAAAUGAAAUAAUCGAACAGUGUAAUUCGAGUAACCGCUAAGAAAGGAUUCCAAUGGAAAUGGAAUCGGUAGAUACGGUGAGCGGAGCAAGAACUCAGUUAGGUGACGCCUAUUAGGCGCGAGACAGCCGAACUCCACUUCCUUGAGAGUGUACGUGGAGUCGGAUGGUGUUGGACGGCGUGAAAUACUGACUCGGUCGGCCGCCGCUUUAGCAGCGUGUAUGCGGUGCUGUUACCGAGUUCAGUUCGCCACCAUAUUAGGUGUUUGAUCGUAUUGUUAGGCCGCCGCUUUAGCAGCGUGUGCGGUGCAGUUACCAAUCGGGGCCUGCCGCUUUAGCAGCGUGUGCGGGUUGUGGUGAAACCCAUAAGGUAUUCGAGUCCCUAAGGCCUUAGGUAAAGGUGUAUUGAGCUCCCAACCAGAAUUGGGAUACCAUAGCUGGAUGAGUCCAGGUAAUAGGAGAGGUAAGAUCCAAGUAAACUGAGAUCCAAAUUGUGAAAAUAGUGUAUUGGAUCCAAUCAAAUUGAGAUCCAAAUAGAGUAUUGGAUAUAAGAAAUUGUGAUCCAAGUAUAAGUAAGAAUAGGUAGGAUCCAGGUACUGCGAUCCAAGUAUGAGUUGGAUACAAGUUAUUGUGGUGUGAACAAGUUAGAUACAAGAAAUUGUGAUCCAAAUGUACGGUGUGAACAAGUUGGAUACAAGAAAUUGUGAUUCAAAUGUACGGUGUGAACAAGUUGGAUAUAAGAAAUUGUGAUCCCCGCACAAACCAAGCGAAGAAAAAGUGAUACCUUAACCUUAUCCUUACCCACUUAAGCAAACACCCACAAACCAUGCGCCCUCAGAAUAAGGCUAAGACUAAGGGCUCACCUUACCUUUAGGGGGUUAGUGGGGAAAAAAGUUAGGCCGGAGGAUCCGGCCUAACCUUCAACUUACAUCAUAUGACUUAAAUACAUGUAACGCUUCAAGCUCAUUCCCCUUACUACAAACCUUGGAAGGGUGUACAAUAUUUCCCAAAUUUCUAUAAAUACUUAUUCAAAUUCUCAUUUGCCUUACACCCUUCACUCUUUCACGAAACGUUAGAGCUUUAAACCGGUAAGACGUAACCACAUGGCCAUGUCCGGAGUACGACAUGGCUAUGUCGUUCGUCGUCUCAAUCGACGACGCCCUGUCGUCCCGGUAAAACCAGAAAAAAUGAAGGACAAGAAUAGAGGUGACUGGCUCGAGCUGGAAACUUGAAUAGACUUCCUACGACUCCGAAUCUCCUUCCCAAACCAGAAGGAGGAUGAAAGAGAAAGAUUCCCAAAAAGAGAGAGAUUCUACUUUAUUCCGGAAAUCGAAUAAAGGAGAGAGAAAAACUACAGUCGAUUGGUUCCUCUGAACUACCUUGGACAAACGACUCUUUUCUCUAUAGACCCCAAUUCAAUAAAUGUUAAGAUUAGAUCCUUGUGGAUUCAACCUCGAAACCUUCCAUACAUAAACUGAAGAGAUAUCAAAUUUCAAAUCCAUCACUUAAAGCCGAACAACAUCGUCGGCCAAACCUCUCGUACCAAAUUGUCGACACCUCUAGUCUCAACACUACAAAGUAGUCAAUUCUUAGCCUCUUUUGACGACUUCCUUUCAAAUCUUUUCCAUUAAUUACCUAAUUAAUGAGAAAGUAAUGCUAAUAUGGUUCAAAUAACAACUUAUAAUCCGACUAAACCGCUAUCAAGCGUCGCUCGAACGCUGACUAGUAGCCUACCAAAGCGCUAUCUAUAAACUCUCAAAGAUUCUCAAUUUAGAACAUAAACUAGGACUCGAUUUGUCCCCAGGUUCGGCAUCGGAAUAUAUUCCACUCUUAAAACGACUUAUCUUCCAUGAACUACGACAAAAUCACGUCUAAAGAUGCGAGUAAGCGUCGUCCAAGUGACGUCCUUUAGCCUGUGAAACUUGUAAUUAGGCGUCGGGAGUUCUUUAAUCUACACCACGUGAGAUUGGACUAGAAUCACCCCAAGUUCAAAGCUAAUGUAUAAUCCAUAUAACCUUUGGAUUAAAUACUACAAAUAAAUCCUAUGAACUUCUUAUAACUUAACUCAAGAAACGACUAAAAUUAUACAAACAAUCCCGUUCACACCUGGUCGCUCCUGGGAGCUAUGCACUUGUUCAACGGCAAAUCAUUCACCCAAACUGAAGUGGUCUCGUUCACUUGGAGGGAUACAAGAUAUACUAUGAUAUCUUAAUGAAUGUACACGUUUAUGUACUUGUUCAUGAGUUAUAGCUCAUUACUUACGAUAUUUGUAUAACUAGAAGAACUUAACUUACCUUGGAGCUAAUUCAUUCUUCUUCUUAGUACUCUUUCCUUAAUAACACUCAGAGUUACGUACCUGUAAUAUACGAAACAAUGCGGAAAUACUUUAUCUCUUGUUCUCCAAUCUAUGUUACCAUAACUGUUCGAGUUCCGAUUACUGUAUAUACAUGUUAAUGUAACGAAAGUACAUGUGGAACUUAGAUCAUCAAUGAUCAUACAAUGAAAUACUGACUUAGGGCUGGAUUUCCCGCCCUCAACUUGGAAUGUACAAGUCUGUACGAUAAACUCUUGACAACCCAAUACUUAAUACGAACGAACGGUAACACGAGUAAGCGUGUUCGAACACUCCCAGCGAGGGAUGUUUGGCCGUGAGGCCUCAACCGGAUGCGCUGUCUACGAACGGGCACGCCCUAACUCACGGCUUCACCUAACGGCACCCCUCACAUAUGAUGGUGCCCCGGUAAUCCGCGCCGUGUUCGACCUGAUGGAACUCAUCCAGGGAUACUUAAUUUAGUUACAUUAUUUACUACUGUCGUCUCCUAAUAGUGACUCAUCAUAUGUCAAUGUAAAAGUGAACUGUAUAAACACGAGUAACACUAACGGAAUGAUCAAGACCAAUUACUUAUAUAGACUAUCGUACGAUAUGUAAGUAUCAAGAAAUAGUAACUAUUUAAUGGUACAAUAUUAACGAAAUGUAAAAAAUCGUUUAGUAAUACUCGGAUCACCACAUUAAGCAGCUCCGACCGCCGAAUGGGUGACCCUUGAUAACAAUUAUCAAGAGUGCGGGAAAAAUAACAAUAAAAAAAGGUCUCGGUGGAUGUCCUCUCCGAUCCCUAGCACCGUUCCCUCAACGCAGAUCGAUCUGUAACGAUCCUCGAACGAUCAACUAGUGGAACGAUGAGCCCGAUGCCGGCUCCCACUACAGGGUCACGUAUCUCUCUGAUGGUAACAUGUAUCCAAAACACAUGAGACACUACAUAUACUCAUAAACUUGGUCUACAAUAUCAAAAUCAUGAAAAACAACGUGAAUGUAAGAACUCAAUCAAUGAGAAACAAGAAGACAACUAACAUAAAACCUGAAUAUGCGACGAGACUAUAGUCCUAUCCUAAAAGAUACAAAGGAAAGGAAGCUGAACAAAGAACAUCUGCGGAAUAUAUGACGUCCACAUACCGCCCAGACACGUGCGUGACCUAUACGAAGACGACCAUGGGCGCGCACUGUCUAAUAUCACCAUAGUCUCGGAUCCCAACUCAGAAACACCUGGAUCACUUGGAAUCCGACCAACCUGAUAUUCUUAUCCGAGCACUCUCUGCUACAGAUCAAUUCAAAAAUCGCUUUCAUAAAACUAAGCCAUUAAAUAUUUGAGGCUUCCCACCCUCAAACUAACCUUACACGUUUAUGAUUGAAACGUCUCCCGGUGCAACCGCCGGCUGUUGCACUGUAGCCUUCAAUCAUAGACAAUAUAAAAUUAUGAAAGCGACCUAAACCCACUAAUUUUACUCAUCACACCAAACUUAUCUCAUCCAAAAUAAUUGAUACAAAUAAAAACAACGUCGUAUCCUACGGACACUGAGCAAGAUGCCGACGACCUCGUCGGCUCCGUCGACUGCGUCUCCUUCAACCCUGAAGGCGAUGGAGGCCUAGCUCACUCCAAGCCCUCAAUGUCCUAGUCGAACGCCACGACUGUCUGAAUCACUGGGUCGUCCGUCACUGUCCAAUUGUCGUCUACCUACGGCGUGCAGCUGUCCUCCUUUCUUACUUCUCCAAUCUCCUAAACGAUGACGCCGUCUACUGUCUAUCUCUCCAAGGUCUAAGAUGCGGUCGUCAUGGUCUAUCCCUAUGCUGACGAUCUCGUGUCAGUGAUCGUGGGCCAUGGAGUGUCCGUCGGGGCUCACAACUCGGAAAUGUCCUCUGUCAUCGUGGGGGUGGUCGUGGACACUGACACUGUCCCUGUCAUAAUGGACUCUACCAUCCGCGGCUCCUCGCUCUUGUCUACUACCUUGCAGAUUUACUUAAAGCAGCAACGUUAGGAGUACAAAAACUACCUCUUUUUCGACUAGUGACCCACCACCUUUUUACCGAUGACGUAUACCUUUUCAAUAAGAUACUAUGGAAACACCUCCUCGCUAUAGCUCAAACCAAACGCUGUGUGGUGAACCUACCACUCCGAAUGUCCACCAUCCACCUAUAAGUACUCCUAGGGGCAUGACUAAACAGAUACUAGUGAACCUUCUCCAAAUUCCUCAACAACAACUGUUGGAUAAAAGAUGUCUCACACUUCUCUGUCUACCUCUCCCUAGACGCAUCGGACUCCGUCCCCCUGUCUUGUCAUCGACUCAUGCUCGCUCUCAAAAGAGCUAACGAUGUAACACAUGGGAAGCACCAAUCUCUACUACUUCUAUUCCGGGCAUAGAAACUCCAUCCGAACGCUGGACGCUUAAAAUCCAACCAAGUCCGUAGCUUGGACAGCUGAAUGGCCCUGCACCACUUGGCUCGUAACUAACAUCUCUUCCCCCGUCUCUAACAUUUUCUUUCCCUUCAACACCUAGCUUCGUUUCCCUUCUCCGGUCCCUGACUCUCGUCACCUGUCGUUAGAAAAUCCUCUGGCGGUUUCAUGGGCUCUCCGGUCGGUUCAGUCAGCUCCCCCGUUCCGAGAAAAUGUUGAGCGUCUCGUGGUCUCGCAGCAGCUGGCGGCGCAACACACUAGACGUCACCAGGGGUAAAAGGUGGCGUCACAGGAGUUACACCACCGUCCACAAAGUAAACACCGGUCCUCCCGAUAAAAGCUAGGCUCACGGGCUCUCGAGGAAGUGGUCGUGGUAGAAGUCGCAGCCGUGGACGUAGAAAACGAGGCUCAGUCCCCUGAGGUAGGCGUGUCAUAGUCAGAUCCGCUGGGGGGCCUGUCGCCGUCAGUCUCUCAAGUGUCGUCCCAAGCUCACCCGCCUACAUACGGUGGGUCUGACUCCUCCGGCGUCGCCGUGUCCUCCAGCAUCGUCCAUAAUAAAACUAAGUACUAUAAGCUCAAGCACGUAAUAAACUAUGACCACGUAGUGUAAGGAAAUAACUAGCCGACAAACGGCUCAACGUAUCGUAUGUCAAUCAUGGAUGAAACAUAGGCCCUGCUCACUAGCACGGGCUGGUAUGGGACUUACAGGCAAACGCGAGUUUAAACUGUCAGUCUGAGCCAAAAUGAAUUAUUCAUGUUUUUUUAAAAUUAGAAAGUCAAAGCUAGUGUAAACCAGUGGCUUUCGAGAUGGCUUGACAUUAGAGAUCGUCUAUUGUCAGCCUAAAAUAAAAGGUGGAAGGCCCACAGUCUUACUAUACUUUGAAAUUUAGAUCGGAGUAUUUUUAUCAGGACUAUAUAAGAGCUCAAAAGUAUUAAAAGACUGUGACACGUAAAAGACGAUUUUAUAGUCGAGGCAAAGAGUGUCUUUUAAGAUUUAGAAGACAAAAGCAAGGCUGAAGUCGUGCUCAGCAAGGGCUGAAUAUAAAAUGAAGAGAUUUAGGUUAUUUUUAUCAUAGAGUGUGAUAAAAAUAAAUAAAAAAUGAAAAUAUAGUUUUAGACUAUGCAAUGUUCGGGUUUCACAUGGCCAUGUGAAAGAGCACAGUGGCCAUUGUGCUGACGCGUCUCUGUUUUGGGCUUUCGACGAAGAGCCAAAGCAUCGUAAACAUGGCCAUGUGAAAGUUACGACAUGGCCAUGUGAAACGACAUGGCCAACGUUGAGUUACCAACAUGGCCAUGUGAAACGGGUCUGAAUCAAAAACCGAGGCAAAGCUAAGAUAAAGUGCGGUUUGUUGCGAUUUUGGAAAGGUUGAGGAAGAUUUGAAUGAAAAUUAGAAAGGUUGGAACAAGCUUAUAAUUUAUCUUGAGCAGAUUGGUAAAGUAAGCGUGCGAAAUCAGUUAAACUGAUUUCAGGUUAUAAAAGGUGGCUUCAAAGUCAUACAAUGUAUAUAUAAGAUCGAAUUAUCAGAAAACUAAUACUACGACAGCAUGUUUUACUGUUAGGUGGAGUUACACAAAACACGCAAGUACUUUUUGUAGUAAGACUCGAUAAACUUACCGUGAACCGAUAGUAUCAUCUCACCUCAUCCUCUUCUAUACACGUGGGGGUAUAGUCGUUCUUCGGUAGCUUCGGUUUGCUAAAGUCUUCAACACACACGGUUACGAGCUAUAAGUCGGAGUCAUGAACUUGCUCGGUGUUAUCAAACGAAAAACGAAAAGGUUCUCUAAUUGCUCAAGGGUUCCUUAUCUGUUUUAGGUCAUCACCUUACAGAUAGCUAACCCAGAGGCCGGGUUAGACGUAGUCUUUUACGUGCUUAAUAACCUCAUUUCCUCCUACUAUCCUCUUCUGGCACUACAUUGCAUAAGAACUACAUAGCUUCUUAUGUAUCUUGUCGUCGUUUUACUGUUCUCGCACCGCGUCGGUAUUUAACUGAUUGUUCUACUUGUCGUAUUGAUUAUAGUCCAGACCAUUAACAUUCUAUCAACUCCGACGGUUGAUUAACGGACAUUUCUCAACCUAGUCCUUCAUUACACGGCAGCCACCCAGCUUCAAAUUCUAACUCGAGCUAUCCUCAUAGUAAUCAGAAUAACAGUCAUUCUGGUCACACCCGUUCAUACAGUUUCCGUAUAAAGUGAACUCUCUCUUUAUUCGGUAAUCUAGAUAUUAGAUGAAGUUAAGGGUUCUUCAUCGCGUCUUCAGGUUCUAGAAAGUAGAGUUUAACUUAUAUCUCUAUAACAAACUACAACAGUUAAGGAAGAUUCAGUAGGGGACAUUAUUAGUAUAGUAGUUGUAUAUCGUCUUAUUAUUGAGCUGGUGCACUUCUACUAACUUGUUUGUAACGGCUCAGUACAACCGAAACCUUCUUCGGAACGACUUCUUAUCAUCUUGCUUUAAAGAGUUUGGUUCGUGUGCCGCGAACAAAUUCGGGUAUAUUUCGGAAUGCUUCGGCCGUAUGUAUUGCUCCGCCUGCUCUAUUUGGCCCUCCUCCACAGUAUAUUUAAAGAAGCACUUCUAGCGGUACGUUUUUUCGUAAAAAUUGUAGAUUAACUACUUCAAAGGUUGUAACUUAUCUACGGUGCCGGUCAUUACAUGCGUGACACCAGUAAGCUCGUUGCCCUCGUUUACAGAGGAGCAUCAGUUAGGGUAUAAGAACUCUUUUCGGAAACCGGUGGUCAAAGAAGUGCUAUAACUAUCAUUUCAAAUCGUAGUGAACAGGUAAAUCCGAGGUAAUCUCGAUUAACCAGGGUGUCUUAUCUAUAAACUCUUACUUUUAGACUAUGUCUAAUCGGAAAAACAACAAAGUCACACGCUUAUAGGUAAAGAUUAAAUAUGAAAGCACGUUUUAACCAAACUAACAUUGCCCAUCUUUCUUUUAGGGUGUGAAGAAAUCGUCAUAGUUUAAAUGAUUUAACGUAUGACUAUCAGUCUGAUUGUCACAGUGCGGGACGCUGGUGGGCGGNCACUCCCGGCGCCACCACUUCCAACCCAAGCCUUUGCAUCUCCUUUUGCAAUAGCGGUUGAGGCGUAAUUGCCAUCGCUAAGUUUUCCGCCGAUUUUCUACUUAGAGCAUCGGCCACGACAUUGGUUUUUUUGGGGUGGUAUAGUAUAGUGGUAUCGUAGUCCUUCAACAACUCCAACCACCGCCACUGUCGCAUGUUCAAUUCCUUCUGUGUGAACAAGUACUUAAGACUCUUGUGAUCUGUAUAGACUUCACAAUGCUCACCAUACAAGUAAUGCCUCCAAAGCUUUAGGGCGAAAAUCAUCGCGGCUAACUCGAGGUCGUGAAUCAGGUAGUUCUUCUCAUAACUCUUUAAUUGGCGCGAUGCAUAUGCAAUGACCCACCCAUUCUGCAUUAGUACACACCCGAGACCCACAUAAGAGGCAUCACUAUACACUACAAAGUUCUCCCCCGGGGUCGGCAAGCCAAGCACCUGGGUCGACGUCAACCUGUUCUUCAACUCUUCGAAGCUUCGAUCGCAAUCGUCGCUCCAAACAUACUUUACUCCUUUAUGGGUAAGGCGCGUUAGCGGAGUGGUUAUUUUGGCGAACCCCUCCACGAACCGCCGGUAAUAGCCCGCAAGUCCGAGAAAACUACGGACCUCCGCUACAUUCGUCGGGCGAGGCCAAUCCUUUAUUGCCUCUACUUUCUUCGGGUCUACCGACACUCCGUCGCCCAAUACCACAUGACCCAAGAAUGUGACCUCCUUUAGCCAAAAGUCACACUUCUUCAACUUUGUAUAGAGCUUCUCCUGCCUGAGUAUCUGCAACACUACUCUAAGAUGCUCUUCGUGCCCCUCUUCACUCUUUGAGUAAGCCAAUACGUCGUCUAUAAACACCACGACGCACCGGUCCAACAACGGCCUGAAGACUCGGUUCAUCAAGUCCAUAAAUGCUGUCGGGGCGUUAGUAAGCCCAGACGGCAUUACCGUGAACUCAUAAUGACCAUACCGCAUACGGUACGAGGUUUUGUGCACAUCCUUCGGCCUAAUCUUUAGUUGAUGAUACCCCGACUGGAGAUCAAUCUUCGAAUACACCUUGGACCCUUGCAACUGAUCGAAUAAAUCGUCAAUCCUUGGCAACGGGUACUUGUUCUUAAUCGUUACUUUGUUCAACUCGCGAUAUUCUACGCAGAGUCGAAGUGUGCCAUCCUUUUUCUUCACAAAUAGCACCGGAGCUCCCUACGGUGACACGCUCGGCCUUACAAAGCCUCUAUCGAGCAAGUCUUGUAGCUAUCCCUUUAGCUCCUUUAACUCCACCGGUGCCAUUCUAUACAGAACCUUCGAAACUGGUUCCGCCCCGGGAAUCAAGUCUAUAACAAACUCGACCUCCCUGUCCGGUGGCAAUCCCGGUAACUCCGCCAGAAAUACAUCCGGGUACUCGCACACUACUCGAAUAUCCCCCAACUCUGGGUACUCUUUUUGAGCAUCUACCAUGGUUGCCAAAUAGGCCUUACACCCUCCUUUGAUCAUCUUCUUCACCCUUACAGACGAUAUGGUUGCCGCGAAGUGCCUACUUUUGCAUGCUUGGUACACCAACUCUUCUUGAUCAGGCUCACGAAAAGUGAUCACCUUGCUUUCACAAUCUAUAACCGCAUAGUAUUUGGAGAGCCAGUUGGUCCUCAAGAUGACAUCGAAUCCCCACAUCCGAUUUAGCACUAGCAGAUCUAUCGGCAUAAUCCAAUCGCCUAUUUGCACUGGACACGCCAAACACUCAUUAUGGACACUGAAUGAAUAUUUUGGGGUGUUCACCGACCAGUAGUCUUCGUUAUAUGCCAUUUCUAUGCCAUGAAUGAGAUGCGCCUGUAUCAAAUACUGCUCUAGUUCUAGUGCCUUUAAUCACAAUUAUACCUCCCACGACAUCGUCGGGUACUGCAGGCUGCUGCUCCUCCACCUGAGCGGCAAAAACCUGUCCGCUAGGUGCCCUCGAUCCCUCCGGCUGUCGCGGUGAUGACGCACUCCCAGCCGAUAUCGCUGGUGGUAACCCCGAAAGCUGUCUCGGGGUCGACGGUGAUGAUGCCGCCGCCGGUGUAGACGACGUCCAGCUCGGGCACUCCCGGAUAAGAUGUCCCGGUUGGCCACACUUGAAACAUUUGUCGUCUCGCUGCGGGCAAGUUGACACUCGGUGCUCUCCGCCACAAAUGACGCACCGAGGUGGUCUCCAGUUGCUUGACUACUGUCGGGGAUACCGAGAGGGUUUCUUAGCAUUUGGCCUGCCCCCGGCACCCCCCGCCGUUCGCUUCUUGCCUUUGUCCUUUGACUCGGCGAUAGCCUCCCAUUUCUCUCGAACGUGGGCGCUACUGUGCUCUACCCAUAAGGCUCUAUCAAAGAGCUCCGCAAAGGUCGUCAGCUUCAAGAUCUGCACCUUCUCAUAUAUCCUCGGCUGGAGUGCUCGUAAUAACCAAUCAGCCCGAUCCCAAUCAUCUCGAACAACAUCGGGAACGCAGUCGAUAAUGUGGGAGAAUUCCUACUCAUACUCCCCCACCGAUCGAUCACCCUAUCUCAACUUGCGAAACUUCUCUUGUAGUCUCCGCUUUACCGUAUCGGGGAAGUAGUUUGCAAAGACUGCUCUCUUGAACUCCUCCCAUAGCAUAAGCGAAAGAUCGGUAGGUCGAUCCCGCUUGACUCGCUUCUACCACACCAUCGCCGCCUUCUCAAGACAAUGGGUGGCAAGGUACACUUUGUCUUUCUCCAAGGUAUUGAGAUCCUCGAAGAGCGUCUCUAUCGAGUCGAUCCACGACUCCACGACCGCCGGCUCUACAAAUCCGCCUUCGAAGGUAGGUGGGUCGAACUUCUUAAACUGUAUGAGAGCCGCAAACGUGCGCUCCCGCUACGCCUCUACCGCCGCACUAUCUAGAUUUGAGGUUCCCGAUCCGGCCAGUACUACCGUAACUAGCACAGCCGCCGCUGCCGCCGCUCCCUCGUCCACACUCGGCACUACCACAGGGGGCGCGAUGUCACGCUCCGGGACCGACGGAGGCCCUCCCGGUAGCGCGCACAGACCCGCCAUAUGUCUACACAUAUAAGGCGUCUGCACAAAAGCGGAAGAGUAAAGCAAGAGAAAAUCUACAAGUAGGGAUAUCUGAGCAAGUAUAUAGCUAGGUUCUAAUAUCAGGUAGAGUCAAAAGAAAACAUUACUACUAAAGCAUGAAGUAAACUAAUACAUCAUAGAUCUCCAAAUACAUAAGUAGGGUGGUGUCUAUAACCAGGUACAAAACUCUCAUAACCUCUCCCAAGAGAAAACAAAAGAGAGGUGGACCACCUAUUGCCAAAUCCCUCGAUAGCUAGCCUGAGGCGAUUCCUUUCCCGCGAUCCCGAGUCUCUCCCGAAGCGAAAGGCUCUGAAAGAAGACAUAAAACAUGGGGCGUGAGAACUAUAAAUUAUAGUUCCCGGUGGGCAAUUACUGACCUGUAUCAAAUUGCACUACUAGGCCCAAAACAUAAACAGAUAUAGAUAAGGAAAUGUAACUGCGGAAAAGAAAGCAUAUAGAGAAGGCUAUACUACUAAGCCACAAGUAUUCUGAAUGUCAAUAUAGAGUACAUCUACUCUACUGAUCCAAUAUGCCAAAACUUAAAUAAUAUGUUAUGAUGCAACAAGUAAUGCUAUGAAGUAUGCUAUAUGUCCCAAAGUCCACUACAUAUCUAGUAUGUACUAUUGAAGCAACCAAAAAUACUACAAUGUAAUAAGCGAUACUGUCAAGUAUACUAUAUGCCCAAAUGUCCAACCCUAUGCCAUAGCAUAUUAAGAGUCCAACUACUAUAACCCAGCUAGUAGUGAUUGUCAACUUGUUGUUUAAUAUUCUUGUUCAAUCUCAUUCAGGAUCUACACAGGUGUAGUCCGGCUUGUGCCGCCUAAGUGCCAGUGGUAGCUCCAGCAUUCCCACUUGAGGAAUGAGUCUAACCCUCCAGGCCCCGUAGGCUACUCGAUACCGCACGAGCGAGCAUAAGUCGCGUAGGCUAACUCCGGAGUGCCGGCUUGUGGGGAGCGACCCUCACAAGCAUGUGCGAAUGAGCACAAAUGGCAAGCAAGCAUGGUCAAUACCUCAAUAGUCCAGUCAUCAUGUCUCCAACAUGGUAAUGCAACUCAAUAGUCAUCAUGUCUCUAACAUGGAAAUGCAACUCAACAGUCAUCAUGUCUCUAGCAUGGAAAUGCACACUAGCAACCCCAAGUGUCUAGUCUAUGCCUCAAGUGAGGAUUUACUAAGUUCACUAAGUCCAACGCCUCUUUAUGGCAUUAUCUCACUAUGUCCAAAACCAAUCCAAGCCUAAUGCCGCUUUAUGACAUUAGCUUGCUAAAUCCAUCUCUAGUCUAAAUCUAAUGCCAUUUUAUGACAUUAGUUUAAUAUUUACAUACACUUUAACCUUGGUCACUUAAUGACACUAUGUCCAACCAUGGCAAAUAUGUAUUCUAAGUUCAAGAGCGUAAUCUACAUGUCAUAUCCACUUCAUGCAACGUGAUCUCAACAAGAGCAAGAAUGCUAACCAUAUGCAAGGGUCCAAUCCUGACCAGCUCUCUACUACACAGAGGCCCAAUGUACUUUAUACAAGGUAUGCACAUAUUAAGCAUUCUAAAAUUCCCAAAAUAUUCUAUUUAGUAAGAAUAUGCAUGCAUUUUCACUUUACGAUAAAUCAAAACCAUCAUAUGAGAAUUCUAACUCAUUUUGGUGAGGCCAAACCCACUGAAAAACGGAACCCUUCAUUUCGCCGAACGGAGGUGUCCACAAUUCUCCUAGCAUCCUAAAGAUGUAGGAACAAGGGUUAGACCGACCAUACGAACAUCCAAAAGCUCAAAUAUAAGCAAACUCAAGAUAAGGGCAAAACUCAUCUAAGUGAAACAAACCCUUCCCAAGCUCCAAACGGGAGCUAGAUCCCUUCCAAUCGAACCUAGAUGAAGGUUCUAAUCCGAUCAAUUGAGCUCCAAAAGUCCUAGAUCAAAAAUCCCCAAAUCAAACCCUAAAUCCUCAUUUCUAGAGUUUCAAUACAAAAAUCAUGAAAAUCAUGAUCAAAAGAGAAAUAGUAAGCAACUAACCUCUCAUGAAGCCCCAAAUAAGGAUCAAAACCUACUAGAGUUGGAGAUCUCUCCUCCAACAAGGUCAACUCCAAGCUCCCAAGCUUCUCCCAUGGUGGAAAAGUCACCGAAAGGCAAAAAGAGAGCAAAAGAGGGAAUUAAACCUCAAAAAUCCCAAGCAAAAACAAAGAAAAUCAAAGAGGGAGAAAAGAGAGCUCCCUUUCCUUCCUCCCCACUGGUUCCAAGCUAAAGGAAUAUCAAGGGUCGUGGGGUGUAUUUGUAAUGAUGCUACAAUAGCAAAAACACCCUCCAAACCCGAGCAGAUUGCAUUCUGCACUGCGUACCGGUACACGGGCCCGCGUACCGGUACACCUUCCACGAAAAGGCCAAACCCGAGCCUCGGGUUUGCUCAAAACUGCCUGUGUACCGGUACACGGGCCCGCGCACCGGUACAACCAUCAGCCCGUACCGGUACAGCCAUCAACCCUGUACCGGUACACGGCCUGAAAAAGCCACCCGAGAGUUGACCAAAAAUUCGACUUUUUGGAUUUUAGUGCAUAGCUUUAAACCUCAAUUCUCAGGAUACGAGCCAUAGGUUGGAACACUGUCAACGACCCACCAGAAAGUCUGGAAAAGCUCAGAACACAGAUUAGACACUCGAACCUUGCAAUUUGCAAAAGUCCAGUGUGUUACACGCGACAUGGUCGACACCCGCCUGGGCCGCCGCUUGCUGACGCUCUAAGGCCUCCUGGAGCCGCUGAAUCUGCUCCCCUUGGCUUCGCACAGACUCUGCUUGCUGCUGCACAACUCCAAUAAGCGCAGCCACUUGAUCCCUAAGCUUUCCGUCGCCACUCGCUCCGGAUCGCUCGGGCUCCGCACUCGGCUCCUCAGGCAUCGACCUUGUCUGUGGUCGUCAACGAGGUGCCAUCGCUUCCUGAAAAGAAGCAACUCGCAUUAGCUACAUAACCAACAUUACUCAUCAACACCCAAUUCGGCGAAAGCAACAUACACAUUUAUCCUUGCCUCAAGCGUCAUGUCGUCGGCCGCCCGACACAACACUAGAAGUAGAGGAUAAACGAAAAUUAAACUUAGCCUCUAAUCACAUUAGAGACGUCCCAACUUAAUCCAAUCACAUGCUUUCGCUAACUUUGAUCCCACGUCACUCACGUUUCCUAGAUCCUUAAGGUCUUCCAAUCCUAAGGGUCUCUAGGUCUAUUCCUAUUCUUUCACACUAGGCUCAGAUACCACAAUAUCUGUCACGCCUCGGGACCGAUACCAAUUUGGGCCGGCCCGAGCACGUCAAACAGAUGCCGAACGGACAGAGUUUUCCCUAUCCGCCCAAGGCUCAUCACCUGUACAUUUUCAAGUAGAGAAAAGCACUAGCGGAAACAUACACAAACGGCUUACACGAGAGUAAGCAAUAGCCAUGAGUGAAAGAAAGGAACUAAACAUCUACACAAGUACUAUUACAUUCAUAUUUACGAUUCUUUACAUUGCUUGUAUCAUUUCUUUUACAUCACAUUUGCCCAAAAUAAACAUUACAUUCUUUUUCUUUUACAUCUCAAUUCAUCAAAUACAAAAGAUGAAGUAAGGGAAUGCUACUACAAAAUGUAAACCCAACUCUCGUGGCCUUUGACUAAGGUGCGAUACCUUUACCGCGGUCGCUUGUCGGCUCGCUCGGUCCCGGCUCUGUGAAAUAGUGGGGUGAGAACUACAACAAAGUUUCCAGUGGGUUCGGCCCCAAUCUCACCGACUUUCCCACUAGGUCUAACUCAGGCAUAAUAGAAAGAAUAAGCAGAUAAGUAGCGAACUAUACAAAUGCAGCUAAUAUGCCUGAACAAUGCUAUCAAUAAGAUGCUCAAUAUAAAUUCAUGAAGAAUGCAUGGUCGAUGUUCUUUGUUCUUUGUUCUUUGUUCAAUCUCAAGGCUAACCCAGGGGUAUCGCCUCAUUAACUCACAACUCAAAUCUAUGAUCGCGGGCCCUCAGCUUCCUCCCGCUAGGACCGUCCUCUGAGUAACUCAACUCAGUGAUGACAAACUCUGGAGCGCGUCGCCCGAGGGGGAGCGACCACCCUCGAGCAAGGACUUAUAGCGAGUAUGAUCAAUUCUUAACUCUAAGCAUAUUCAGUUCAAUCUGUUUCUUAACUCUAAGAAAUUAUGCACAAAUGACCCUUAGCUCUAAGGUUGAAUGUCAUCAUGUCAAUCUCAUGUUCUUUGCAUUCUUUAUCUUUGACAAUGUCAAUACACUAACUCUAGUGUUCUUUACAUGCUUUACUAUCAUUCAUGUCAUACAUUAACUCUAAUGUUCUUUGAUGCCAAACUUUGAUGCUAACUCUAGCCAUUGUUCUUUAUGUCACACUUUUGAUGCUAACUCUAGCAUUUAACGUUCUUUAUGACUCACUUAUUCACUUGAUGCCACACUUUUCCCUUUGAUGUCAUACACUAACUCUAGUGUUUUAUACAACUUUAGGCUAUCUUUAGCUUUCAUUCUCAACAUUUCAUUGUAUUCAUGUCAUAUGUCACUUGUUCUUUAACUUUAUCAAGUUCUCAUCAUCAUACAUGCACAUAUAGGGUUAUUACAUUCUUAUUGGUUCUCAACCAUCUAAUGAUGCACUUGAACUCACAAAAUGCAAACAUUCACAUGUUUAUAAUCUCAUUACCCUACUAUGCAUGCAAUAAUAUACUCAUGGAUGCUCAAUAAGUGACACAUUAGACAUAAAGCGAAUUCCAACAAAUUUGGAUAGCACCACCCAUCUCGUAGGCGUACUAGGAUGCUACGGUGAUUUUCUCAGAAUUUUUAGCCUCUUAGUUUGGUACCUGCGGCAAAACGAAGCCCUAUUAGGCUAUUUUGCUCAUAACUUUACAUUAGCUUUUCGUAACGUUAAUCCGAGCACACCAACGCGUCGGAAAUACCCCCAAUUAGGUUUCUAAAGGGUCAAUUUCACUUUGGAACCCUCACAAGCAAAAGCCCCAAUUUGGGUGCCCUAGCUCAACCUAUAUCAAAACCUAGGGUUUGAUCUCAUUAGGAAGCAAAAGAAGCUUCAAUCUACUCUAGAGACUCUAUUAAAACCAUCCUUAGCUCAAUCCAAACCCUAGUUUGGAUUCUCCCAUGAGAGGGGUGAAGCUCACAUCUAAGCUUCAUCACAUAUACCCAAACCAUGAUUUUGAUCUCUUAAAGAAGCAAAAGAAAGAUUCAAAUACAUAAAAGGUUCUAUUAAAACCAUUUCUAGAUCACUUAGUUCACAUUCUAGGGUUUUACCAUGAAUGGGAUCAAAGCUUACCUCAAAGCUUUCCUUUCUUUGUGCUAGAGGUGAAGGAGAGGGAGUUGCUUCACUCCUUCUUCUUCUCCACCUUCCAUCUCCUUUUCUUCUUCCUCUUUUCCUUUCUUUCCCUUUCUUUCUUCUUCUCCUUCUUGUUUUCUAGAGAGAGAAAGAGAGGAGAGAGUGUGUGAGAGUGAGAGAAUAAGAGGAAACACAUCAUAACCCCCUCAACAUAACCCAAUUGUUACAUAAUUGCAAAUAAACCCCUCAGCUUUUAUCUUAUUAAACUGCUUGAACUGGGCAGUUUUCGUGCUCGGGGACCGGUCUCCCCGACUUGGGACAGGUCCCAGAGAGCUCUCCCCGCGGGCAACCAAGGCCCCCGCGCAGUGCAACCGGUCUCUCCCAGGGGGACCGGUCUCUCGGGGACCGGCCUCUCCCCGCAGGGACCGGUUCCCGAGAGCUGGUUUUCUGGGACUUAGCUGAUUUUUCAGCUUUCUCAAUUUCCACGCGUUCGGGGACCGGUCUCUCCCACCAGGGACAGGUCCCCGAGAGCACAAAACCUGCAGAAUGCAGAUUUUUGAUUCUUUAGCUCUCGAAAACCUCCCACAAUGCAUUUUUGAUCAUUUUAACACCUUCGGACUUUUCAAAGUGUACCAACCUCGCACUUUGGUCAAUUUGACUAAAGUUCGAUAUUUAUUUUUCAAAUUCUCGCUAUAUUACACCAAUCUUGCCGGUUAACCUUGUUAACCCCAAUAACUCACAACUCAAAAUUCCUUAAUAACGGGGGACUCGAACCACCCUAGGGACUGUCCUCUGGGGGAACUUUACCACGCCCAGUGGUGACCAACUCCGGAGCGCACCGCCCGAGGGGGAACUACCUCCCUCAAGCCAAGACUUAUCGUGAGUAUCGAUCUAAUUCCCACAUAGGAAUGUAUAGCCACUUGUCACAAUGCCACUUUACCAAUGAUAGGUCUCUACCGUAUCAUGCUUGCCAUUCUCUAGGCUACUCUUGCCACAAUGCCACUAAUGGUUAAACUUUGUUUAACAACCAAUGUCUUAAUACCAAUUGUCACGCCCCGAGCCCGCCUAUUUGGUCGGUUUCGGGCACGCCAACAGACUGUCGAACGGACAGGGUUUUUCCUGUACCGCGGACAGAGUCUCCCCUGUACAUUCAAGGCGUCGCAAUCAAUACAAUGUACGAAGUUCCAACCAGGAACACAUUUCAAACAAAGAUUGCAUAAGGAAGUAUCAAAAACAUAAAUCUACUUGCUAUUACAAGCAUUCAUCUCACAUAUUACAUUUUUGCAUUCUUAGAUUACAUCACAUUUGAUUAUUUGAUUCUUACUUCCAAAUACAAUCAAAUUAUUACAAAUUUACUACAAGUUUGAUACAUCUUGUUCUUUCAUUUUCCAUAUCCCUAAGUAGCCGACUCAGGGUGCUGCUAUCUGGUCUCAGUGGUAGGGCGCUAACUACGAAGCUACGCCCUUGCCUCACACCGCCGCGCCGCUCACGUGUGAACCUGUAACACCCCAAAACAACAUGGGGUGAGAACCAACUCCAUGGUUCCCAGUGGGUACGGCCACCCAAGGGAAGAGCUCGACCAUCAGGUCCAAAGGAGGCAAACAACAUGUUAGUCCAAUAGAUUGAUAUGAAAUCAUAAAUCGUGCAACUAACAUUACCAUGCUUUUGCCUCACAACAUGCAAUAUGCAAAUCAUGCAACUCAUAUAGGUAGAUUAAUUGAUUCUACUCUUUAUUCUUAUCCAUUCUUUACCUUUAGCCAUUCUUUACGGUACUAGCUAUUCUUUAACAUUUGCCUUUCUUUAUUCUUUAUUACUUGUCAUUCUUUAGCAUUAGCCUUUCCUUAUUCUUUAUUCUUUAUUCUUUAUUCUUUACGCUUUACUAAGGGUACUCACACCUCAGUAAUAUUAUAUGCAUUAGCCUUUCUUUCCUAAGGUUACUUUACCUUAGCCAACUAUGCCAUCCGACUCGGUCUUGAGUGAAUCAACUGUGGAUAGUCCGCGCUCUGUCCGGCUCGAGGUGAAGGAACUCUCACAUGCACCUCAGCCUUCAAUCACAAACCACAUCGCCCAGCUGGUCGUCCAGAGCUGUGUACACCCGUGGUCAGGGAUCUCCCGGUGGGAGAGGAACAUGCCGCAUACACCCGCAGCCGAGAUCCCCGAUAGGGAGAGGAACAUGCCACAUGCAUCCUAGCGCUCAUUAUUCUUGCUCAUUGACAGGCCUUGAAGUUCUUCCGGUGGGAGAGGAAUGUGCCACAUGCACCCGCGGCCAAAGAACUAUCGAGCUUGUAUGCUGCACUAGCAGCCGCUGCACUAGCAGCAGGGAUUUCGGAAUCCACUUUACAUUACUCAAGGGUUGGUCUCACCCUACGUUAUCGACCUAUCUAGGUCCAAGCCUUUACUCAACCUAUGUUUAUACAUUAGGUUCAAUGUCAUUAUUUUCAUAGCCUAGGUUCAUUAAUACUAGGUCCAACAUUCUUUAUCACCUAGGUUCAUUCGACUCUAGGUUUCAUGUCACUACAUUCACAACCUAGGUUUACUUGACUAUAGGUUCCAUAUCAUUACGUUCACAACCUAGGUUUACUGACUCUAGGUUCAAAGCCACUCAUGUUUUUGUUUUCCUAGUUGUCCACACCUAGGAAUUAUACUUAACAUGCCACUCGUGAUUAACCUAUGUUCAAUGACACUAGGUUCAAUGCCACUCGUCAUCCUAGUUAUUUAUACUUAGGAUUCUUUACAUAUGACACUUGUCAAGUUCUCUACUUUACUUAGUGUUCAUUGACUCAAGUUCAACCUUCAUAUCAUUCUAACAUAUUCUUACAUUAUAAAAUCAUGCAUUUAUACAUCAUCUCGCUCAUAUGUUUAUUUAACAUACAUCUCAUACAUGCCUUUAACAUUUAACUCAUGCUUCAUCUAGCAUUUCUAUAAUAUGUCUACACGCAUUCUUUAGCAUACAUCUCAUAUGAUUCGUUACUUGGCACAUAUUACAUGCAUUACUUAACAUCUAUCACAUGCAUUCAUUUCUUAGCAUCUUUAUCAUGCAUUCUUACUUAGCAAUUCUUAUCAUGCAUUCAUUUCUAAAACAUGCAUCUAGUUCAUGUUACAUGGCAUUUUACUCAUGCAUUUAUCUAGCAUAUGUCUUACAUACUCCUUUAGCGUUUAGCUCUUGCAUUCGUUAGCAUACUUCACAUACCUUUACUUAGCAUCUAGCUCAUGUCAUUAUAUGCAUUUAUUAGCAUCAUUAUGGUACAUUUUUACUUAGCAUUCUUAUUAUGCCUUCUUACUUAACAUUCUUAUCAUGCAUCAAUAGUGAAACAUACUACACUUUGGCAUGAAGGCGACCUAGUCGCUUCGGUAAACACAACCCACCUUUUAACGCGUUCCGAUUGCUUGUCGUCACUUGCAAUCGGCCUCCCGUGGCACCCGUGACCCGGUUUGGCCCGAACUCUUGCGCGACCACCCGAACAGCCACCAAUUCGCGAUCCGUCUGUUCGGGAGUUUAUUCCUCGACACCACGAUGCUCCCGAUCUAUUUUCAUGAUUUUUGGAGGCUUAUCCCGCGUGCUGCGGCUAUCUGUACCAAAACAGACAGUUUCGUCAAUAACUUCGCGUACACUCGUCGGAUUGUUGAACCGAGUGCACCACUGCGUUUGUUAUACCCCCAAUUAGGUUUGUAUAGGGUCAAUUGAGAUCAAACUCAACUAUUUACAAAAAUCCCUUUUUUUGGAGCCUUAGAUGCUACUCUAGCAAAAUCCUCCAUUUCAUCUCAUGAAUCAAGCAUAAACCAUCUAUUUAGCAUGCUAAGAUUCCAUCUAAAUCAUCUUUAGAGUGUAAGAACUUAACCCUAAAGAUCUACCAUUAAAGCUUCAAGAAGCUUACCUCUUUAGGUUUGCUCCUAGGUGAAGAAGAAGAUGAUGGAGGGAAGCUCUCCACUUGCUUCACCUUCUUUUCCCUUUCUUCUUCUUCUUCUUCUUCUUCUUCUUCUUCUCCUUUCCUUUCUAGAGAGAGAGAGGGAGAGUUUUGGAAGUAUACGGUGAGGGAGAGGGAGAGAGAGAGGUUCUAAUCCUCUCUAUACACUUAACCCAUGCACAAAAUGACAAUAAGCCUCUCAACAAUGCAUCUCUUGCAACAGCCCGAACUGGACAUUUUCGAGCUUCGGGGAUCGGUCCUUGCGAUGAGGGACCAGUCCCUGAGAGACCGGUCCUUGGCUGAGAGACCGGUCCCCGAAGGUCCAGAAAUCAGCCUUCAAGGACUUAGCCAAAUUUUCAGCUUUUUCGCCGUUUUCGCUCCGUUUUCGCUCGUUUGACAUCCGAUUCGUUUCAAAUCGAACCGAGACUCUCCAAACAUGUUUUCAAGCAUGUCUUCAUCAUCUUUUCAUCCACGCUAAUGCCGGAUUUAGUCCACGGUCCAACAUAGCCUUUCGGGUCCCGUUUUCGCGCCCUAUGCGCACCGAAGCACCCGAAUGCUCCCGAACUUUGCCGGAAUGAUUCCAAUGGCUUUCUAAGCUAACAUACAUCGUAACUUCAUGAAUUAGAAGUUCGGUAUAUUACACCAAUCUUGUCUCUAUUGUCAAUGUCACCUUUGUUUACUAUUAUCUUGGUCCAAGUCUUACAUUCAUACAAUCUUUAGGACUCUACUAUACAUGUCUAUUAUGGUUCUUGUCAUUCUCUAUAUUCAUCUACGUUAGAAGCAUAAAAUGCAAGAAUGGUUCUAUACAUAGUAUGUUCAACAAAAGGCGAAAUAAACAUAAAGGGGAAUCCAACGAUUCCGGCGUGCACCCCCUACCUUGAAUAGUGUAGAAGGGUUGUAGUUCGACUCUCGUGAUUUUAGGACGCCUCUUCGACUCUCGUGAUUUUAGGACGCCUCUCCUGCGACCUAUACCCAAAGUAGUGCCGAAUUAGGCCCUAUAUACAAGAUCUCUAACUUAACCUUUUUGUAACGUCAAACGAAGUUGUCAUACGUGUCAGAAAUACCCCCAAUUAGAUUUCCAAGAGGUCAAUUUACCUCGGAAACAACCGGAGGUACAAGCCCCAAAAUUCAUGCCCUAACAAUGCCAUAAUGAAAUUUCUCCUAGAUUGAUCUUAUCUCUAAGCAAAUACUAGCUUAGAAUCACCUAGGAAGCUCUCUAAUACCAUCACUAAGCCAUUUAGACUAUUCCUAGGGCAUCAACUAUGAACCCCAGUUAUCCACCAUGAGAGGACCUUGAGCUUCCAUGGUUUUCAUGGAGCUCAAGCCUCAAGAGGGUUUCUAACUCUAGAAACAAACUCAAAACUCUAAAACUUAGGGUUUAAAUCCUAACCCUAGAGCCAUUCUUGCACAAAACUCACCUUCGCCACGAGCUCACCCAAGUCCACCUUGUUGGACAGCCUCUAGAACCACCAAUUCCUCCAAAAUCCACCUUCAAUGCCUUCCAAGCCUCCUCCUCCUUGCUCUAGGGCACACUCUCUAGAGAGAGAGAGAGAAAAAUGAAGUGGAGAGGAGAAGAGGGGCUGCUGCUGUGAAGGGAGGUGUUUCGGGGUAUUUAUGGUAUGCUACAAUUGCAACUAGGCCCCCCAAAUAUCCCUAUUUGCAACAGAUUUUAAAACUGCUGCCAGACCAAAGUGUACCGGUACACGGAAUUUUGUACCGGUACAACACUGCGCAGAGGCCAAACCCGAGAGCAACUCUCUUGGUUACGCGAGAUUUGUACCGGUACAUUUUCAAAGUGUACCGGUACACUUCCAAUUUUUCUCAAACCCGAGGGCUGACUCUUCUCGGGUUGCAGGGCUGUACCGGUGACAUCUCGCUGGUUGUACCAGUACACUUUGCCCAGAAUGCAGGUUUUGCGCCAUUUUCGAUUCUUUUUCACGCCGAUCGAUGCUAAAACCUUUCUAACACCUCUUAAACUCAUUUUAUACCCUUCCAACAUUGUUGGAAUGCUAAUGGAACUUGUCCAUCCAUUUCUCUCGACAACUUUUGUAACAUACCACAUCCCUUGUGAAUCAUACCGAGUUCCGUUAAAACGAGCGGAACGCGAAAUUGAAUGAGUUAAAGUGGACCCUAAGUGCAUUGGAGUUCAUAAACGGAGCAAAAAGGGACCCGGAGAGCAAAUCUGGAAAUCUGGCUAAGUCCCAGAUUUUGAGCUCUCGGGGACCGGUCCCUGAAUGAGAGACCGGUCCCCGUGCGCGUAGCCUGCCAGGAAAUCCUGAGGCAUCCGGUCCCUGAAGGAGAAACCGGUCCCCGUGCGCGUAGCCUGCCAGGAAAUCCUGAGGCAUCCGGUCCCUGGUGGUGAGACCGGUCCUCGGGAGACCGGUCCCUGACGGGCAGACCGGUCCCUCGCUGCGCAACAGCCGAAAACUCGAAAAAUUUGGCUAAGUCCUGGAAAACCCCCGUUCGGGAACCGGUCCCUGGUCGGGGAGACCGGUCCCCGAAGGCGAAAAAUGCCCAGUCUGGGCAGUUCAAGUGGAAACAAGUGGAGGGGCUUAAGUGCAAUUGUUACAACACUAUAUAUGACUCACCCCUCUCUUCCACAGCCAUUUCCACCCUCUCACCCAUUUCCUCUCUUUCUCUCUCUAGAACCCAUGCUCUAGAACUUGGAGAAGAAGAAGAAGAAGAGAAGAGGAGGAGGAUUUGGAGGCUUUGGAGGUUCUAGGAGCUCUCCAACAAGGAGAAUCUUGGUGGAGCUUGGACUAGAGGUAAGUUUUGUAAGGUUUUCCUCUAGGGUUUGGAUUUUGGUUAAGAGAUUUGGAGCUUUGUGCUCCUUAGAGGUUUUAGAAGCUCUUUUGAGCCAUGAACACCAUGGAACCCAUGAGAGCUCAAGGUGCUCUCAUGGUGAAUCCUUGGAAAUGAUGUUUGGAGCCCUAGGGUUGGUACCAAAGGUCUAGAAACCUUGUUAGGAUGCUUCUUAGAUGAUCCUAUGCUAUUCUUUGCUUAGGGUUGGGAUCGAUUCAUGGGAAAACCCUAAAUGGCAAUAUUAGGGCUUGAAUUUGGGGCUUUUGCCCUAGGAUUGUUCGGGGACAAAUUGACCCCGUAGAAACCUAAUUGGGGGUGCCCUAAACACGUUGGACAACUUCGUUUAACAUUUCGAAAAUGUUAGAGUAUAGUUCAUGUACAAAAAGGCCUAAUAUGGCACUAUUUGAUUAUAGGGCGCGGAAUCGGCUUUCGUAAAGUGCGGGGGCCUUAAUAUUCUACACCCACACGACUCACAGAGGUGGGGGGUGCACGCCGGAAUCGUUGGAUUCCCCUCUAUGUCUAUUUCUCUAUUUUUGAGCAUAUAUAUAUAUAUACACCCAUUCAUGCAUAGUAGGGUAGCUACAUGUGGAACUUGGUUUGACUUCAUUUAUAUGCUUCUAACGUAGUUGAACAUAGAGAAUGAUAGAACCAAAAUGGACAUGUGUGAUUGGACCCUCAAGUUGUGUGAAUGUAAGAAUGGACUUGGACAUUAGAAAACAAGGGUGUCAUUGACAUAGAAACAAGAAUUGCAUUGAGAGAUGACCGUUGAAAAUAGUUUGACCCAUAGUGACAUGGUCGAAGAUAAGGCCUUGAAAGUGGCAAAAAUAAAUAGGUAGAGACCUAUCGUGAUAUUGGCAUUGUGACUAGUGGCUAUGAAUCCUCAAGUUGAGGAUUAGAUCGACACUCACCUUUCGUCUUGGCUUGAGGGAGGUCGCUCCCCCUCGAGCGGUGCGCUCCGGAGUUGGUCACCACUGGGCGUGGUAAAGUCCCACCAGUUGACGGUCCCUAGGGAGGUUCGAGUCCCCCGUUAUUAAGGGAUUUUGGGUUGUGAGUUAUUGGGGUUAACAGAGUUAACCGGUAAGAUUGGGUAAGAGCCAAAGUUUGAUUAUGAUUGGAGCAUGCAUGCAUUUCCAUUUUCGCAUUGAAAUUGUAUAUCUACUGACUUUUUCUUGCAGGCAUAGUAUUAGUUGCAUUAGUAAUGGUUACUUUUCUUCCUUUGAAAUACUUAUGCCUGGAUAGACCUAGUGGGUAAGUCGGCGAGGUCGGAUGCCGAGCCCACUGGGAACUUCGUUGUAGUUCUCACACCACUAACCCUACAGGUCCUAGCACGAGCGGGGCGGCGGAGGACCGAGGCAAGGGUUUGGCGCCGUAGGUAGCGGCCACCGGGGACUUUAUGCAUUUUGUAGUCAUUCCCUUUUGUUAUACAUGUAUCAACUUUAUUUUGUUGAUUUAGGUAUGUAAAGUGUAAACAAUCAUGUAUUUGGUGGAUGACUAAAUGUAAAAAGAUACGAUGAUUGAAUAAAAUGUAAUAGUUUUGCUUACUUGAAUUUGGUUUAAAUGAAAUCAAAUAUCAUGUGUGAUUCAUAUUUAGCUUAGAGCUUUCGCUUCCGUUGUUGCUUGCCCUCGUGCGAGCCUUCUAUUAUAUAUGCAAUUCUCUUGUUAAUUGCUUAAUUAUACGUGUUGUUAGAGCCUUGGGCGGACAGGGGAGGCUCUGUCCGUUCGGCGUCUGUCGACGUGACCCGAACCCGACCAAAUUGGUGGGGAUUGGGGCGUGACACAACAUAUGUUAGAAGUCGAUAGAAGAAAACCCGCACACGGUUUGCCUCAAUCGGAAACAACCCCUGGCGCGAGAACGAUCUCCUAAGAAACGAAGAAUCAAAAGAAGCUAGAGAGAGAAAAGGAGGAGAAUUACCCGUUCUCCAAGUCUUCUAUACAUAUAUAUUCUACUGGGGUCGAUUGGGAUAAACCUAACAACAUAAUGACCAAAAGACCCCUUACCAACUCAAAUCUGCUGCCUGAGUACCGGUACUCAAUUUGGGUACUGGUACCCAAUACUCGGACAGCAACUAUGUACUGGCCCAAUGCAGUACCGGUACCUGGUUCCAGUACUGGUACUCACCACCUAGGUACCAGUACUCCAUACAAAACUUCACAACUUGAGAGCAACUAUUCGACAAAUCCUCUGAGGUACCGGUACUACACUCAGGUACCGGUACUCAACACUCAAAGCCUGCUAUUUGCAGAUUUCAGUGUCAGCACUCUACUCUCACACUGUGCCGAACCCGUUUUUGCGUCCAUUUUUGCGCCAAACCGACUCAGACUUGACUCGACACUCUACAAACGUGUCGACAAGCCACUGAUGCUACAGUCACUCAGACAGCAAAACCUCAAGAACACUACAGAGAGGGGGAAAAAGAAAAAGAAAAAGAUAGAUAGAAAGAAAAAGAAAGAGAAGGAAAGAAUGAGAGUAAGAAAGAGAUAGAUAGAAAGAGAAAGAAAUAGAGAAGGAAGAAAAAGAGAGGAUGAAACAAAGUGUGAAUUGGCCCAAUUCGAACCUCUAACUUCGCAAUUGAUCGCCACAGGGUGUAGAGAGGUGUAAAAGAGUUUGCGGCGUGCGUCCAGCAACUCGAAUUUUAAGGUAAUUGGCAUUCAAUUGAGGCGAAUGAGGAGCAAUUAGAAAAUCCGAUGUAUGUCGUAAUUCCGAAAGUUUUGCCUUGUGUAGUGUUUAAGUAUGAUCGUGAGCCGAGGAAAAGUGCAUGAAUGGGGGAUUUCUUUCCAUAGUUAACGUAGCUCGUUGAGGUGGGUUCUGAGUCGCCGAAAAUGGCGAAUUUCCUUCUAUGUCUAUUUGGCACCAUAUAUAGUAUUUGAGCAUCUGUACAUGAAUUAUAUUGUAUUGUUCGUCAUAUCUAGACAUUCGACGCAUGAAUAUGAGACAUAAUACUCGAGCAUGAACAUGAGUAUGAAUAGGAGGCAUGAAUUUGAACUUGAACUAUGAGUAUAUCAAUUUUGACACUGUAUAUCGUACUUGAAGCAUGAACAUGAGUUAUUUCCGUUUAUCUUGUAUUGAGCAUGCCACAAGUGACAUGUUAGAGGUCUAGGCUUCGUGAGACCUUUGACGGCUGCUCUUUAGAUACUUUGUGGCCGAGGAUUCGUGAGACAUGUGUGAUAUUAUUUUUGGAUAUUUAUGAUUGAGUUGAGACCAUUGGAUCAUUUCUUGUGAUUAUUGACCAUUCCAUUGUCUAAUAGACGUUACAUAAUGAUUAUUAGCUAUAUCUCAUAUUAGACAUCCUAACUAAGGUCCUGGGAGGCCACUCUACAUCUUGUGUAUAUUGAUGAGUCGUCUAGUACCCCUAUAUGUUGUACAAAUCAAAGGUAAUGUAAGGUAUCUAUGUGAGUUGUCUAUGUGAUUCAUCUAUGUGAGUCAUCUCUUAUCUAUUUCUCUUGUACAUGCCUGAACUCGAUGAUAGAGGCUGCGGGUGGCGCGGCGGUAGUGUGCAGAUAUUUGGACAUAGAGAGAGAGUAGUUGACUUUAUUGAGUAGUGUGCAUAUUCUUUUGUGACGGUCGACUUCCUGUGUACUCCAUUAUUACGCUGAGGACAGUGUAUUGGGUAUCGUGAUAUUGUUAGCUAUGAGAUAGACCAUAGCCUGUAGAGCCACAGUGAGUUUGACAGAGAUACUUGCUAUUAGACUCGGUAGGGGUUGCUCCCGUUCGAGUGUCGCUCCGGAAGAUGGCUAGUUAUAGCAGAGAUAUGUGUGCCCUUGGGAAGGCGACCCACCUGCGGGAGUGGUGUUCGGGCUGGGGACAGAGCCUAGGUGUUGAUGGUGCACUUGCCGGAAUGCGAUUCCGGCACUAGACGGGCGCAGGCUUGACCGGACGUACGAGUCGAUUAUUGUGAUUGGGUACUAUUAUAGCAUUUAUUUAGUAGUAGUUACAUUGAUGCAUACACUACUCAAUUUCUUUCCUUUCCUCUCGCUACAUGUGCAGGGACAUGAUAGUGCAACAGGUAUAGAGAUAUGUUUAUAUUACAUACAGUUAUUCCUUUACUAUUACCUUAUGUUUCUCUAUGCAGAUCAUAGCCAGUUAAUCUUUUAUUGUACUAUAAAUUCUCUGUUCAGAUCAGAGCCAGUUAUCUUUCCUGUAUACAUGAUAGUCAGUUACAUUUAGCUUCUAUUUAUUGCAUAUGUUACUUUUCUUUCACUAAUCUGGCCGCCACUGGGAACUACUAUUUGGUGGUUUACUUUUUAGGGCUUUACAUACCGGCGGCUGUUCAAGGUGAGGAGGAUCGUGUAGUAGAUAAUAUAUCCCAUCAGCAGGCCUAUACAUUAAAGGACCACCAGUUAGAAGGCCACUAUGUACUACACACAUGUACUGGUGAGGACCAGAGCCUAUACCCUGUACUUUUGUUUUGAGGGUUGCAUUUAUUUGAUGUAGUACAUGAUGUAUUGUAAUUCAUCUUGGAAAUAGCUCUGAUAAAUGUUCUUGUUUAUUUAGUACUUCAUCUUGAUCCUUGUAUUGUAGAAAUCCCUCAAUUAUGACCUUGUGGAUUGUUUUGUACUAUUCGAUUGUGUUGACGCUUCAUUCGGAUAGGGGAAACUCUGUCCGUUCGAUGGGUCUGUUGAUGUCCCUGUGGCUUCCUCUAUGGACUCGGUGCGUGCAGAUUUGGGUGGUAUCAGAGCAUGGACAUAGGUCAAGUGGACGUAGAAACAUUAGGAUUUAGGACGUGAGUGACGUGACCUUUGGGCGAAAGUCAUUAAAUUGAUUCUUGUAAACUCUUCAAAAGGAACUGAAGAGUGAUCGAAGGAUAUGCAUCUUUUCUUCUUAGAUAAUUAUGUUGGCUGCAGACAACAUAAUACUAUAAAAGAAAAGAAUGAGGUCCUUCUCGACUUUCGCUUGAUUGGGUCAAGUUGGGUCCAGUGAGGUGUGUAUGGUGCUUGAUAUAUGUUUUGUAUUAGACACUUGUGCUGACCUAUCACGGCCCACGACUGCCAAUUUGGUCGGUUCGGGCACGUCAACAGACGGCGAGCGGACAGCACCUCCCCUGUCCGCCCAAGGCUCCACCAACACAUGUAUAACAAUAGCAAUUCAAACAAAGAGAAUGCAAGUAUACAUAGCUUGCACGAGGGCAAGCAUCAACCACCAAACAAGUGAAAGUAAUCUAACUAUUACAUUCAUACAUUGUAACUUGAUCAUUUUGAAUCAAAUACAAAGCUUAUACAUUUUCUUUACAUCUAUUCAUCCAAUAUACAUAAUCAUCACCCAAAUGAAUUUAUUACAUUUUUCAUUCAUCAUAUGUAACAGAUGAAUAACAUAAGGUUAUACAACGGUAGUCCGCUACCUAGAGCACGAUAACCAUGCCGCGAUCAUCGACCGCCCCGCUCGCGCUAGGACCUGUAUGGUUAGUGGGAUGAGAACUACAAUAAAGUUUUCAGUGGGUUCGGCAGCUAACCACGCCGACUUUCCCACUAGGUCUAAAUCAGGCAUAAUAGAAGAACAGAUAGAUNGGUUAGUGGGAUGAGAACUACAACAAAGUUUCCAGUGGGUUCGGCCGCCGACCCCGCCGACUCGCCUACUAGGUCUACUUAGGCAUAUGUAAGAAAAGGAUAGAUAGAUAGCAAACCAAACUAAUGCUAUUACAAUGCCUGCAAAGAAACUGGGUCAACAAAUAAUAUGAUCAUAAGUAUAAUGAUGCAUGCAUGCUUUUCCACAUUUACCUUGGCUUUCACCCAAUUAACCCGGUUAACACUUGUUAACCCCAAAAUUCACAACCAAAAUUCCUGUCGAUCGGGGAGACUCUGUCGCUACAACCCGAGGGACCGUCUUCUUGGGAUAAUUCAGCUACACCUAGUGGCGACAACUUCGGAGCACACCGCUUGAGGGGAGCUACCUCCCUCAAGCCAAGACCCUAUGUGAGUAUGAUCCAAUCCUCAAUUUUGAGGACGCAUAGCCGAACCUGCUAUUUUUACCGCAAAACCACAAUGCCACAAUGCCCAAGGUCACACUUGCCACAAUGCACAAAAGGAUUUUAUCUCGUCUAGCAUAUCAUAUACUGGGCCACACUUGCCACAAUGCUCUAAGAAUUUUACUUCAUCUAGCAUAUCAUAUACUGGGCCACACUUGCCACAAUGCAUAAAAGGAUUUUACCUCAUCUAGCAUGCAUAUCAUGUCAUAAUGUCACAAUGUCACAUUAUUAUAAUGUCAUAUCACCAUGCCACAAUGUUAACUAAUGUUAUAGUUCAACAUUUCACAAUGCAUAUAAUGUUUAUCAACAUCAUAAUCCAACAUUCCACAAUGCUCUUAAGGUUUUAUCUUAUUUAGCAUAUCAUAUACUUGGCCACACUUACCCUCUAAUGUUAAUGCCACCUUUGUUUACUAAUGUCAUAGUCCACAAUCCACAAUCAAUUCAUACAUUUAUAGGGUUUAACAUGCAUGGUCGAAUAUUUAUUCAUAUAUUCUCACACCUAGAAGCAUAUCAAGAUUCCCAACCAUAGCCCAAUACCCUACAAUGCAUGAAUGCCAUAACACACAUAUAUGCUCAAGAAAAGGCGACAUAGACAUAGUAAGAAAUUCGGAGAUUUCGGAUAGCACCCCCCAUCUGUAGUGAUGCCGUAAUGCUACGAUUCAAGUCCCGCGAUUUAUGGCCGCCUAUUUCCUCGACCCAUGGCAAAUGAAGCCGAAAUGAGGUUUUUCCUACAUAUCUUGACGUAGAAUUGUAAUACACUGGAUCUUAGCAAAUUGCAAGAUUCGAGUGUUUGAUUUGUGAGUGGAGCCUUUCCACGGUUUUUGGAGGGUCGUUGAUAGUGUUCCGACCCCUGGCACGCACCCCGAGGGUGUUGGUUUGAGUCUUGGCACCAAAAUCCCAAAAUUAGAAUUUUUGGUCAGCCCUCGGAUAGCCUGCAGUAGGGCUAGUACCGGAACAAGACUGGCCUUGUACCGGUACAAGGGUUGAUGGUUGUACCGGUAUAGCCAUCGGGCUUGUACCGGUACAGAGCCGCAGACCGAGCAACCCGAGCCUCGGGUUUGCAUUUUCGUCGGCCUUGUACCGGUACAAGAACCCGUGUACCGGUACAAGGAGGCAGAUUUCGUGCAGUUUGAACUACAGGGGGUUUUUCACGAUUGUGGGCUUUUUAUAACAGCAUCCACGCCCCUUAGGGCUUUUUUUGUGCUGGAACCAGAGGAGAGGAAGGUGAGUGAAGCUCCACCUUGUCCCAUUUGAUUUUGAUCUCCAUUUUGCUUGGUUUUUGAUAGAUUUUCUUCUCUUUUGCCCUUUGGUGCCAUUUCCUCCAUGGAUGAAGCCUCAAGCUUGGAUUUGGAGCUAAGUGGAGGAUAGAUCUUGGGAUUUAAAGGAUUUAGAGCUUGUUUUGAAGCUUCUAAGAGGUAAGCAACAUGUUCUCUCCCUCUAGAUUCAAGCUUUAUUGGAUUUCAUGAGAUGAAACCCUAGAUUUAGGUUUUAGGGUUAAUAUUGGGCAUUUUGAAUCUAGGGCUCUUGGAGCUAGAUUGAGUGGAUUAGAGGCUUCCAUUAGGUUGGAUUGGAUGAGCCCUAGCUUCAUUUUGGAGCUUUAGAGGAGAUUUUUGCACUAGAGGUGAGUUUUCCUCACCUAUGCUUGAUUAGCUUAAUGAUUAAGCUAAGUUUUGUUCGUUCGGCUCGUGUGACUCAUGUUCUUGUACCUUUAGGGUAUUAGGAGUGUGGUGGACGCCCUCGUUGGAGCGCACGAGGAGUUUCGUCGUCAUCGGUGGGUUUGGCUUCGUGGAAAUGGGGCGAAAUGGCCCCUAUGCUCUUUCUACUUGUUGUAAAUUAUUUUUAAGUUCAUUUCUAUGCUAAAUGAAAUUUAUAUGAAUUUUAGAGCACUUAAAAUGCAUGCCUCGUGUAUUAUAAAAAUUUCACUAUAUAGUAGAGCUAUAUGAGUAGAAUGCAUGCAUACGGGAAAAGUGUUUAUUUUGCAAGUGAAAAAUACAUCUCUUAUGAGAAUUAUGACUUGGAAUAUAUAUACUUUGGAACAUAGUUACCAUGUUUUGACAUAGAGAACCAGAGUGUCAUAAAGGGGCACUUGAAACUAGUAAACCAUGAAACUGCAACAUAGAGACAUAUUGGUAGGCCACUACAUAUCUGCUAUAUUCCAUGUUAGAGACAUGAUGACAUAGGGAUAGGCCAUUGAGAUACCUGACACAUUCCAUGUUAUUAGACAUGAGGACUUGGUACUUGCGACAGAUCGUUUGACUACUUGCCAUUGUGCUCAUUCGCACAUGCUUGUGAGGGUCGCUCCCUACAAGCCGGCACUCCGGAGAUGGCCAUCGCGAUACAUAUUCGCCGUGCGGGAUUGGGCGCCGAAGUGGAUUGCCGUGGGCCAGGCUCAUUCCUAGGGUGGGGAUGAUGACUACCACGGGGCCAUUAGGCUCGGCACCGGCCAGACAGCCUACGGGUGGGUCUCAGGGCCAUAGACAGCCUUCGGGUGGGUCUCUUCAGAUUGGACUUUAUAUAUCCGUUAUGACAUGUGGAUAGAUGAUGACUUAGAGUAUUAUUUGGACAUUGACUAGAAUAGUAAACAACGGAACUUUACUAUUUCGCAUUGUGAACAUUAUGAUAGUUGGAGACUUUACUUCAUGCAUAGUUGCUUUCAUACUUUUACUAUUCAUGCUAAGUAGAGAUAUCAUGUCGUAGUAGGUUACAUUUUUACUUACCUGUCGCCUUUCUACUUUUAUAGUCACUGACAUCUUUUGUAGCUUUGGGCCUUGUGGUGCAUCCACUGAAGUCAGUAAUUGCCCACUGGAAACUAUUUUUAAUAGUUCUCAUGCCCCCGUUUUGUGGUUUACUUUUCAGAGCCUUCGGCACCGGCGGAGGCACGGGAUCGCGGCAAGGGGAUCGCUUAGCUAGCUAGCGAGGAGCGGUACUUUGCCUAGGUGGUUUACUCUUUCUUUUUGUAGUUGAGGGAGAGUGAGAGAUUUUGUAUCCAUGUAUAGAGACCACCUAUGUACCUACUUUUAGCACUUGUAUUUGGGAUCCCUAUUGUACUUACUUUAUGUUUUAUUUAGAGGAUUUACAGUUUUAACUUUAUCCCUUGUGGUAGCAAUUAGACAUUCACUAUGCUCUGAUACUCCUAGAUGUCUUUUAUUAUUGCUUUUAUUAUUGUUGUUUUUUAGACGCCUUAUAUGUUGUAGACAUAUGGCGGGUCUGGGCACGCGCCGGGCGGGCUCCUGCUGGGUCCCGGGGCGUGACAAGAAUCGACGAAUCUCCAAACCGAGUGUUCCCACACGUCAGUUUAUCUACCAAUUAGGGCUACAAGAGAUCAAACUCAAGUUAGAUCUCAUAGUUCACAAAACCCCAAAUCUAACCCUAAGGUUUUCAUCUUUACCAAAUAACCCCCUAUUCAUGGAGAUUCACAAACUAUUCCAUCAUGACAUCUCCUAGAAGCUACAUCUAGAAGGAAAUAAUCAAACCCUAACAUCAAAACCCUCAAAACAUAUGAUACUUAUCUCAAACCAAGAUUUCCUCCAUGCAAGGCUUGAAGAAGAGGGUUGCUCCACCACCAAGCUAACUCUUCUCCACCAUAACUCCACCAUUGGAGCCAUCCCAAGGAGAGAGAGAGAGAUCUAGAAAGAGAAAGAGAGCUCUCAAGUGUUGGGUGUGAAGGGGAAAAUAAGAGGGGAAACCACUCUACCUCUCAUAUAUGCACUCACCAUGGCACAAAUGCACAAAGGCCCUCCAAAUAACAAAGCUCACCCAACUCUGCCACAUUUCGUGUAUGGGGUUCGGACCCUACAGGCAGGGUUCAGACCGCGAGAGCAAUUCCAGCCCAGCAGCUUGGAAUUCCACCAAUUUUGCUCUCCCAUGUCCGAACACCACAUAAAUCAUUCCGAAAUGUCCGGAAUGCAUAACAGACCUCUCUAACAUGUCCGUAACCACACUUCGGUCAAUUUGACGAAAGUUCGGUAUAACCUAUUGGGGAUACGGUAUGUGUAACAUAGCAAUUCCCCGUGAGUCGUGCCGAGUUCCGUCGAAAUGUGCGGAACGCGGAAACGAAUGAGUUACUAUAGGCUAAAAGUGCAUUGGAACCUAUAUAAAUGUCAAAGGGACCCGAGAGAGUGAAAUUGCAAAAUCUGGCUAAGUCCCAAAUUUUGGGCUCUCGGGGACCGGUCCCUGAGAGGAGACACCGGUCCCCGAAAGCGUAUUAGCCGAGCAGAGGGAAAAAUCAUUUAAGUCCUGAAAAUUGAGCUCUCGAGAACCAGUCCCUGGGUGAGAGACCGGUCCCGAGAGACCGGUUGCAUCGGGGGGAGACCGGUCCCCUUCUGCGAAGGCUGCGGGGUAGCUCUCGAGAACCGGUCCCUUGCUUCAAAGACCGGUCUCCGAUUGCGGGUUGCACAGUAAGAGCUGUUUGCAAAAAUGAAAAUGAGAGGGGCUUAAGUGCAAAUGUGUCAUGUGAAGGGUUAUUUGAGCUAGGGCAUGGGUGAGAGCUCAUUUGCUCUCACUCUCACCCUCAAACCUUUCCCUCUCUCUCUGUCACGCCCGGCCCCGAAACCACUACCAAUUUGGCACGGUUCGGCAGCGGCGGCGGGCCGCCGAACGGACAGCACCUCCCCUGUCUGCGCAAGGCUCAACAAUAGGAAUGUGUACAAGAAUUUACCCAGAAAAUUAAAUUCUAAGCAUACACAUUCAAGAGGGCACAAACAGUGCCAACAAUACAGAGAGUAAGCGAUCCACAAGAUAAAACUAGUGAAAUAAAGAGAGUACUUUACUAACUAUUACAAUAGUUCCAACAUUCUCAUUUACAUCAUUUUCUUUAAAUGAAUACAUUUGUCAUCCCAAAAUACAUAGCUCUCCAAAUCCUCACCUACAAUGAAUCUCUCUCUCUAUACAUAGGUGACUAAUGUAAAAAGGAAAGCUACUAUACUACCACGGUCUCACUGGUCGGGCGCGAUGCCCUUGCCGCGGUCCUCUCUCUGCAGCCCUGAACCUACCACUGGAAAUAGAGUGAGGUGAGAACUAUCUUCCAUAGUUCCCAGUGGGCUCGGCCGCCGACUCUGCCGAUCUCCCCACUAGGUCCAAGUGGGCACAAGUA